This 51473-nucleotide long non-coding RNA is filed under the name Lynx pardinus (Iberian lynx). The stretch from base 40319 to 40403 matches the Rfam family "tRNA". The record is from RNAcentral. Lineage: Eukaryota; Metazoa; Chordata; Mammalia; Carnivora; Felidae.
GUGGAAUUUCCGGAUCAAAUGGUAUGAACCAGUUUAAGAUUUGUCCUCCACCGCCUCCUUAAACACUAUCGCCUAAUUUAUUUAUCAUAUGUGGUGACAACAUUAUUUCCCAGUUGUUGUUUGCCUAUUGAUUUUGUACCAUUCAUGCAGCUUUUUUUUUUUCCCCCAUGUUGCGGCCUUAUAGUUUUAGAUAUCCACAGCUAUCAAUUUUCUGAUUUGGGGAUUUAUUUCUUUUCAUUGAUGAGUACACUCACCUGCCUUGUUUUCCAUUCCGUUGCUUCAUUUUUUACAGUUAACUCUGAUUCAUCUGGAAUUCAUUUUGGUGUAUGGUAUGAAUUUGAAGGAGGAUCUAAUGUUGUUUUUUUUCCAAAUAGGUCACCAAUUGUUUCAGCAUCAUUUAUUGAAUAAUCCAACCUCCUUCCACUGAUUUCAAAUGGCAACAACUUCUCUCCCGUUAGCUAGGGCAAUAGUGUCCACAGGUCGGCCAUUUUCUUUCUGCCCCGGGUGGUCCCUUUCCGCAAUAGUAUUUGUACCUUCUUGCAGCUUCCGGUAGCAUUCUAAAGCAUCACGUUCGUGCUUAUGCCUUUCAAGGAUUCUAGACACAUGCAGUAUAGCUCAGUGGUUUUCAGACAGGAUUUUUAAAUUUUAAAUACUCCCAAACUGUACUUUUAUCAGAUGCUUUUUACAGAUUAAAACUGAGGGAAGUGAAUAUAUAAAACCACUGUCCCAGAUGUCCUAUUCCCCUUGGACACAGUUGGCAUCCUAAUUGUGGGUUCAAAACAUACCCCCCACCCCCCGGGGUUAGUGUUACUGGUAAGGUUCCUCCUUCAACCUCUUUUUCUACUCCUCAGGUGCUCGGAGAAUUAAAGCUGUCUGGACUCAGUUCCUGGAGUUUUCUAGAAUGGUAUAAGAAGGAAAUGUAAGAGCUGUGAGAGGAGCAGAAAUAAAUAACGCUCGCUGGCCUGUUGCUGGCAGUAGUCUGAUCUAGGGAUUUAAAGGAGGUAGACCGCAACCGUCUCUUGUAGGUAAGGACACACCCCAGUGCUUCACCUCUUUUCACUGCAGGCGGAAGGCUCAGGCAUGAAACAGACUCUUAGUCUUAGUGGGAGAAGAGUUAAGUGUUGCUCACAGAAAUAUUUGAUUAUUAAAAUCACCUGCCACCCACUGCUGACACCCCCCCCACCCCCCCCCANNNNNNNNNNNNNNNNNNNNNNNNNNNNNNNNNNNNNNNNNNNNNNNNNNNNNNNNNNNNACCCCCCAUCCCCACGUCUAACACAGCCUUCUUUGUCUCUUGACUUCGGAGUCUGGCCUCUAGCCUUUGCUGAUUCAGGAAGAAACACAGGGGGCAUGGGGUGGGAGGAUGCCUUGCGUGCCUUCAUUGCAAGGGGCUCUUUUGGCUCACAGCCACGGCCCGGUCACUUCUUGACUUGCCGCAUUAGGCUGUGAUUUGUUUGUGACUGGAGGCUGGUUUCCCUGGCAACAGCAGCUCGUCAGGGCAUGCGUGUUGACUCCUCUGCAGUGGCAGAAUGCGGCUGUGGGGGCCGCAGUCACUGAAGGCGCGCUUGUGCAGUCAUGAUGUCAGUUUCUCUGGGCUAAGCUGCCGUCGCUAUUGCAUAUCGAGCGUUGUGUUAUCUUGUAAUACUUGGAAGGCUUUGAGCUGCUCCCUUUUCCUUUCAAAUUACCUGCUUUCGCUGUGUCCAGCAGUGACCACAAAGUAUUCCCAGUGUUUGAGGCCACUGAUGCCCCCCAGGCCCUAAGGGGAUUCAUGGUAGUGUAGGCGCAGGAAACCGGCUGCUUGCUUUCAGACCUCCACCUCUUGCUAGUUGCGUGGCCAUAGGACGAUUACUUAAUGUCUCUGUGCUUCGGCGCUCUCAGAUGUAAAAUGCAGAUUAAUAAUGGCACCUUUAGAACAGUGUCUGUUACAUAGUAACGUUUGUAUGAGUGCUGGCAUUAUUAUUUGUAGGUAGUAAAGGACAAUUUGCCCUGAAAUAGACUUGGGCUGCAAUGUACAAACUUACCCUCUAAGGCCCACCGGUCACGUAACACACACACACACAUUUACCCUUGCAGCACCCACACUCUGCCCACGGCACAUGGACAGGCACACAGUCAUCUCCCACGUCACUCAGACUCCCCCAAAGACACACAUAUUCUCUGCGAGGCAGGAAGUCUCACCUCAGGGACAUAGACCUGCCCCACAUGACGCGGCUCGCCCUUCCGUAAAGACUUUCCCAUGACCCACCCACAGUCCCGACAUCACAGACUGUCCCAAUAGCACGCGAGCCCUUGGUGUGGCCCAGGCUCUCUAGCAAAUACGGACUUACCCCAUAGGACACAGACAUGUCCUACAGGACACACACCACAGAACGUGGCCUCUGCCCACAGCCCACAGAUUUCUCCCGGUGCCCCGCUGACUAAAUCCAGAGCUGAGAUUCUCCCGAGGGCACAGACUCCCCUCGCGUCCCAAAGACACUCCCUAGAGCACGCAGGCGCCCCACUUCAGGGCACGUGGCCUUACCCCGUAACACAGAUGCACCCUAGAGCACGCGGACUGUCCACAGAACACAGACGUCGCCCCAGAACAUGGUUCCUGACGCAGCUCAGAGACCCACGUGGGAAGGCACGCUCCCCCACGGCAGCUACACUUGCUCUAUGGCACAAAGAGAGGCACCGCGGAACGCAUGCACACCGCCAGGCCCAGUUCGCUCCACAACAAAUACAGUUACCACACGACGCCAACCCUUGCCUCACGGCGCGCUCAUUUGCCCCACAUCUGGGCCUUCGCCGGCCACGCACACUUGUGAGACAAGGCGUGCCGUGUCCCUCUGUCAACAUACGUGCCCCAUGUUCCUUAGACACGCUGCAAUAAAUAGCCAUCCCUCUUCCCCAGUGCACAGCACCGCAUCGCAGCGUGCACGCGGGCCCGACGACGGACAGAUUGGCUCCACAACAGACACACUCGUGCCGCGGCACCACCUAAUCUGUCUCCAAGGUGUCCGGAGCCACUCCUCAGGGCUCACACAGCCACCCCUCAGGGCGCAGUCGCAGACGUGAUCCAGACUACCCUCACUCAUUUCGCAACACGGAGCCCACCCACAACACACAGACCCAUCCCACAGUACGGCACCCCCCCCCCCCCCCCGCCCCACAGUGCACAUGAACGUGUCCCAGCACAUUAGCAGACAUACUUGCUCUGCAACACACGCAAACACGACCGAGCCCUGAAACUCAUCCUGAGUGCACGGACGAGCCCCGCCGUGUAAUCACACUCACACAACUUACAAUUCAUGGGCUGCCUGUAAACACAUAGAUUUCUUCUGCCGUGUACGCAUCUGGUCAUAGCGUGGACUCGUUCUAACACAGCAUACCUACACAUCACAUGCACAGUCCCCGGUUCGUAGACACGCAACACGCGUAUUACGCCUGCGAGGCGAAUGUUUCCAUCACGGAUCGCGGACAUAGCUCACCACAUUACUGAGCUCCAGCUCUGACCUGCAGCACAGACACAGCUUGUGUAGUGGUUAAGAGCAAGGCCUCUGGACCCAGACAACCUGGGUUGAAAUCCAGAUUCCACCCCUUUCUAAUUGUAUCACCUCGGGUAAGUACAUGUCUCUGUUCUUUAGUUUGCUCAGUCUGUAAAACAAAGGUAACAGUAGUACCUACUCAGAAGGGUCGUCGUGAGUAGUAAAUGAAUUAAGAUACGUGAAGUGCUUAGUACAGGCACCUAGAAACUAUGCAGCUGUUCGUUUAUAUGACCGUCAUCCCCCCACCGAAGCCUUACUGUUAAAGUGAAAAAGGCCUACCCCAAAUACCUAGAAUCAUCCGGCAACACAAAGAUUGGCCGCGUGAUACACGGGCUGGCUUGAGAACAUGUAAAAACACGCUACAGCACACAGAUACGCCCCCACACCCCCCCCCCCCCCCCCCCCCCACCGAGCACACACAGAACCCUAAACCAGAUGCCACUCACAAUAGACACAACUGUAUCACAAUCAACAAGUUUGCUAUUCGGUGCACAGGCUUGCUCUAUUAUACGCAGGCUCACACCACAGUAUUCAGACUGGAUGCAUAAAGCCCGGCCUCACCCCACGAGGCACAGACCUACAACACAACACACACCCACGUACACACACACAAACACGCAUCCAUGCACCCUACAACUCAGCAAUAUGCCCCGUAGCACACCAACACAUCCUCCAGGGCUCACAUUUUUGUUGUAUAAUGUGUGCAUAUAUUUUCUAUUCACAAACAUGCUCACGAACGUACAAGACUUGCACCAUGAUACUGAGACUCAUCCUGCGACACACAGACUCACCCAACAGUUCGGGGGUUCCCCAGGAGGGAGACUCAUGAUAAUACACAGACUCAUCCAAAGACACCCAGACAUGCUACAGUACGUAGAUGUGCUCCAAAACAGCUUAGCAUGUCCAGACAGACCCUGUACGAUACACGGAAUUGCAUUAUAACAUUCAGAGUAAACCCCCAACGUAAGUCCUCUCCUAUAAAGUAAGGCUUGCCUCAUGAAUACGGAGAACACUCUAUAAUACCUAUUACAUAUCCCGGGACACCUAGGGGUACUUCAGGAUGGACGGAGAAGCCUCGCCAAGCUCUCCACUGCACGGUGCACCAUGCGCCACAGCCGAACUCCACAACGCACAAACUCAUCCCCCCGCAAAACGCCCACUUGCCUCUAUCGUGCAAACAAACAUGUCCCACAACACGAAGACGCUUCCCAUGGAUAUGGACCGACCUUAAAAUGCACAGACACAUUCCUCACGAACGCGCCCAUGUGCACGUGCCCACACACACACAUUACAACGCCCAGAGGCAGCGCACAAUGCACAGACGGCCCCCUCGGGAAGGUAGCCGUUAGCCCCAGCAUACCUGGAGACCCCACGGCACACUCCCGCCUCACACAGCACGCUUGGUUCCCCCACGACUCGCGGAACUGCGUCACAGUGUACAAACCUACCCUCUAAAGCAAAGACUUGAGCAGCUAGACUGACUCCACAAGGCACAGGUACGUGCCGUAAUCCAGGCAGUAGACUCUCAAGGAAACACACCUUUCAAAAUAGGUACUCACACAAACGUGCCAAUUUCUUUGAUUGCUUACAGAAUCGCAUAACCACAUGACUUUCCCUUAAAGCAGAGACUUCAUGCCACUUACACAGUUGGCCCACGAUAAAAAGCCUGCCCACGCUGACAGUGCACACAUGAGCCCCACAUUACUUGGAUCAAACAUAUAAUCCCUAGGUGUCGUGUGACGCAAGAUACGCCGCCACAGCUGUGCGUGCCCCGCAAGGCCCAGAGACAUUCCAGAAGCACAGCACACCCCAAAACAAAGGGGCAGUGUAGAUUGCAGUUAGAAGCUGACACUUAGGAUUCAGACUGCCUGGGUUCCAGGCCCACAGGGACUGUUGACUAAUUGUGUGACGUUGGAAAGGUCUCUUAACUGCCCUGGGCCUUAGUUUUGUCAGGUACAAGUUGGAAUAAUAAUAGUACCUACUUAGUAGGGCUGUUGAGAGGAACAAACGAGUGAACGCCUAUAAAGUGUUGAGAACAGUGCUUGACACGGAGUUAGCGUUAUCGACGUUAGCUAAUCUUGUUGUUACUGUUAUUGUUGUUGUUUCUACACAUGGAACUGGACUGUGCUGCUAAGACUUAAUCGGAAAAAAUUCAAAUCAGCCCAUGACACACGGAGUCCACCUACACGAAGCCCAGAAUCCCACCAUGGCUCCCACUCUCACCACCGUUUGCUUACGAUUCCCAAAUGACUGCACACAACACACCCACGAUACAGAUUCACCCAUCCAUGCGAGGAUUCACCAUGUCGGAUUCACCAACUAAACGCAGCCUCUCCUAUACGCACGUGCCCUUACAACACACACGCUCAGCACGGAACACGCUGGCCGGCGUGACGUAAGGAACGGAUGAGCCCCACAGUGCUUGGAUAAAAUGUGUAAUCCCGAGUGUUCUCCAUGCACAGAGGAGCCUCGCUUCAAAAUCCCUGGAAACAGUCCACGACACGUAGCCUUGACCACCACACAAAGUCACAUCCCACUGUCGCCGUCACAGCCCACACAUCUCACUCGUACACCCCAAGUUGCUCUCUUUCCACAGGGCCCACGCUUGCUCCACCAUACCAGGCUUGUCCCUCAGCGCGUGGAUUGCCCCCUUCCCUCCAAGCAGAUCUGGAGCGCACAGAAUCAUGGGACAAAGCAGACGUACCCCGCAGCGCCCGUAUCAGGCACAUGACACGCACGCCGGCUCCGGUAAAUACCUUCCUUUCACAACACCGAUGCCUGUCCUGCAACGCCCAGACCGGAUCCACGGUACCUCGGCGCCUCGCCCGACCACGCACUCAGCACCACGGUGCACACUUCUCCCACGCAGCAGAGACAGGCCACACAGCACGCCGUCCUGCCCCACCGUGCACCAUAGCCUCACAACACCCGGACAUAUCCCCUAAUGCACAGGCACUCCCACAGCGCCCAGCUGCCCAAGGGAACAGAAUGAUAUCACAACGCAAAGGCCCCAGACACCUUCGGUUGUCUCCACGUAGUCCCCCGAAAGAUAUGCAGGUGCAGAGAAUUCAGAUACAAGCUGUAACCACAGACUCAUCCCGCAACCUGCAGACAUGUCCCGUCAUACACAGGCAUCUCCCACAAUGCCCACGUGUGCCUGCAUCACCCACGCUCACAUCGGAACAUUCAGGGUCACCUCGCUGCCCAUAGAUUACAACCCACAAGCUUGGCCCACAACGUACACGCGUGCCUCUCGAAGUAUGGACCUGACCCUAACCCACAAGCUUGCCCCAUUGUGCACAGAGUAAUAACAACACGAUGCCAGGGUAGGCCCCACAAGGCCCGCACUGUCGCACAACACACACAGUCAUUGCGUAGCAUAGUCACGUGCCACAGUGCCCCGUAUGCCCCCCAACGAAGCACAGGUAAACCCCACGGUGCACAGGCCUGCCUCCUAACGCAGGCGUGCCCCGCAACACAGCCUCUCCACACACAGGUCGGAAUCACAACACACAGACUCACUCUCUAAAGCUGAUUUGCUCCACAACAGAUGCAGUCACGCCACAGUGAAAAUACGAGAGCCACGGCACCCAGGCUCACCGCAAAGCGUUCUCCCCCCGUUUCUCUACCACGCGGAGGCCCUAUAAUGCAUAGAUAUGCCUCUCAACUCACAGACUUGCCCCUUCACACCUGGACACACCAUACAGUGCGUAGACAAAUGUCGGAGCGUCUCACGCUCAACACGGACAUGCCUCGUGUAACACGUAGUCCACAGUGGACUUAUCCCACGACGCACAGGUCCGCCCUACUGAGUUUGAUCUAAUACCACAACCCCUAGACUUGUCCCCGCACACAAAGGCCUAUCCUGAGAUGCACAGACAUGUGUCACAACGUCCAGAACCACCCAUACCCAGAGUCACUCUACGAUACCCCUAGCUCCUUGCACAGCCCACAGAAUUGUAAAAAACCCAAAGCAUGGACACAAAUGCACAACUCAGACGUUUCCCAUAAAGUACACAAUCAUAUUGCAAAGCACUGAUAUGCCCCCCACAAGGCACAGUAUCAAGUUACAGUGGGGGCAUGACUCUCAUGCCACAAGACUUCCCGCAAAUCAGAAACAUGCCCCAACAUGCAUCUCUUCCGCGACACAGUCAUUCGGACAUUCUCUACAAUUCCUAGGUCGAAUGCCAAGACUCUGCCCACCACUCGCAGACCCACACAAAACCACACCAGAGUGUGCAGAUUUUCCAUGAGUUGUAUAGGGUCAACUCAUGGCACAUAGAUGUACCACACAAUAUUCAGAGUUCAGACACACACACACACACACACACACACACACACAACUUUUACACACAUGCCUCAGCAAAAGAUGGAGCCAGAAACACGUGGGGUCCGUGACAACACGCGAUCUCCUGUCCCAGCAAGGUAUGGAACAGCAUCACAAGGCACAAUCCAUCCUACAACAUGUAGAACAAUCCCACAAUUAACAAUUAAUUAAUUAAUCCCACACUUACCUCAUGGUGCAAAGAUUUGCCCAAGCGCUGCACGCACAUGUACUGCAACUCGUAAGGACACCCUACAACGUAGGGUUGUGCCCCCAGAUGCACACUUCUGCGACACACAGGAUUACAUCACAGCACAUCAGCUCACAAUUCAAGAUGUAGAUAAGCCCAACACACUUUUGCCUCACGCCACACUAACUCCACAAAUCCCAAACUUGCCCCCAAACCCUAACUUGCACAGAUUUGACCCACAGCAUCUCAAACUCACAGUACAACACACAGACUCUAAAAAUCGCUGCCAAGUCAUAUUAAAACACAAAAACGUGCCCCCAUGGAAACCCUCACCGAGCCCGUGCUUGCCCUGUAAUGGAUAGAAAGGAACAAUGGCUUUCAAACUCAGCUCACAGGUUUUUGAGUUGCCUCACAAUGUGCACAACCAUGACCAACGACUCACAGACCAACGACUCACAGACCAACAACUCACAGACCAACGACUCACAGACCAACGACUCACAGACCUGCCCCAGAGAACAAAGGCUCCCCCACUGCACACUGAACGCAAAAUUCCCAACGUUGGGCUAGACACUCACGCUCGGCCCCUAGUGCGCAAACCCAGCCUGCAUCAGACACAGCAUAGCACAUAGAUUGGCCCUCACUUAGAAUCAGCUGAGAACCCACAUUCGUCCCACAAUGCCCAGACGUACGCUACAACGUGCCGACAAUGAUCACGGCUUAGAUACUCCCUGAACGGUGCCCAGAUUCCAGUAACAGCGCAGAGCUGUCUCUGUGAUAUUCACUCCACAGCGUCCCAAAUCGCACGAGCACCCACACUUGUUCCAAAAUGGACAGCUUCUCCCACAGCUGCAGACAUCCUGCAAUACGUAGAUGUGUCAAAUAAGAUACAGGACCCAUCCCGAAACACACAAUAUCGCGUAACAACUUAGAGACGUUUCUCAGAACAUGCACCCCGGGAUCAGUGGACUCCCCUAAAACAUCCAGUCGCAUCCUCAAAGGCCUGUCCGACCCCACCCACCGCCACCAGCAUUCUUGUCUAGGAGGUCUAAACCACACCACAGAAAACAGACUUGCCCCCCAAUGCACGGACAUUUACACAACUCUCAAACUCCUUCUCCAGUGCACAGACUUUCACCCCUACACACGGUGCUAUCCCACACCGCAGAGACUCAAACACAAAGCAAAUAACGAACCCGUCACCUACCACAACUACCAGAUAUCUGCCCAAACACACAGACGCACACCACGACAUGCCUGUGAGCUUCACAAUAUCCGACUGGCCCAUAACCCCCACGCUCACCCCUCAACACUGAGGCCAAUUUAUGAUGUCACAUAUGCUCCAUGACGCGAGAUCCCCACCACAGCCCGUGGAACCCCAUCACAAUGCACAAAUUGACCUCACGAUGCAAACAUUUUCCAAAAAAACGCCGAGACUUACCCCGUAAGCCAUCCAGUGUUACCAUAAUACCCAGAUUUGCCUCAAAACUCAGUUUUUCACCAUAACACUACAGAAAUGCCUCCCCAUACCUACAAUGAAGUUACAACGAACAGACUUGCCCCACAACGCCCAGACUCACCCCAUAACAUCAAGACGUGCCCUGUCACCCACAGUUAAGUUCCACAAUGCAUCAUCUCCCUAUAAUGUACAGUGUCACUCCACCACAUAAAGUUACCCCACUGUGGUAAGAACAGACUGCAGACAUCCAGCCGCACCCCUGAAUUCAGUCUGGCCACACAAUACGAAGACAGGUCUUACCAUGCACAGAAUAGCUCCAUGGUACCCAGAUAGAGCUAACUUGCUAUAGGCAGAGGUGCCUUAUAGCACAUAGGUUUCUCCCACAAACACAAAGCUGCAUUCGGAUGCAAAGAUUCAACACACACACACACACACACACACACACACACACACACACACAUUGCACAAGACACAUACCCCCACAAAGAAAAACCUAUAUCCCCCAAACCCAGAAUUGCCCUAUGACACAAAGACUUGCCUCACAGGAUGAAGACAUUUUUCACAGUUUUCACCUCACCAGACAUUCUUUAUAACUGAGCCUUGCCCCACAAGGCACCCUUGAUCUCCACAACCUAGACACGAUCUAUAGUGCACACACCCCCACGACACCUUGGCAAAACCUCCAACGAGAAGAUGCGUCCGACAAUGUACAAAGUACCUUGAAAACACACAGGCCCUCCGCCACAAUCCCAGGCUGGCCACACCAUGCUCAGAGAUUUGUCCAACACCAUAUUUGCGAUCAGCCUAUAUCAUACACACUUGCCCCACAAUACACAGCAUUGGACCACAACUUCUAGAAAUUCCGUAUCAUGUACAGACACAGUCCCAUACCUGAGAGACUCUCCCUGCUUUAAAAAACCCACAGAUACCCCCACGAGGCACAGACAUACCCUACCAUGCACACUGGCUCUAUGACAAAACAGUUUGCUAUAGAAUCUCUAGAAACAACCCAUGACACAUAGUCUCACCCCAUACUCCAAUAUAUAUCCCACAGUGUGCAGAUUGCAAUGCAUACUCCACACCUAGACAUGCCCUACAACGUGAGGACGUGUUCCACCAUCCCCAGAUUUUCCUGAUAGUACCUCCAAAGAAUCACAGCCACGAAAGUCACAACACCCAGAAUCACUCCCACAAAGCAAGUGACUCCAAAUCAGAAGCUCAGGACUCACAGGACCCAUAUUUCAUACAGACAACCCAGAAUCCACGGCUUCACCUCAUCCCCACCUUGCUACGCUUCCCUUAAUGUGCACCGAGAACAGCCUCGCAGGACACAUAUGAAUCAUGCGAGUCACAGACUGACGUCACAAGAAACGCACUCACCAGACCAACAGUUUCCUGAUACACCACAAAACCCGCAUACGUGCCCCACGACACCCAGACCCACCUACCCUCAGACAGGCUCACCCCACAAUGUAAAACUUAUCACCCCAAAACGUGUAACAUCAAGGCACGGUACAAAGGGAUUUUGCCGUAACAGAUUUUCUCCACCGCCGUCAGACUCACCUUGCCUUACCAGACUCGCCCCACAACACUUAGCGUCCCACCGUAGCACAGGGAUUGUUUUUUAAACAUAAUUUAUUGUCAAAUUGGUUUCCAUACAACAUCCAGUGCUCAUCUCAGCAAGAUAGCACAGAGAUUAUAGCUAUACAACCAGAGACCUAACUCAAGACGCAUUCACCACAUGGCAUCUAGCGUCACAGGGCUACACAGAGACGUGCCGCCUAACCCAGGAACUAGAUCUGGAACACUCAGACUUGCCCCACAGUCCUCAGAGACUCAUACCACGGCACAGACAAGAUCCACACACGGAGACGUAACCACGACACACACAUUCACCCCAGAAGACCCACACUUGCCCCCAACUGCACAGUCUCAUUACACAAGUCUCAGGAGGCCUCAUCCACCAAAAAGAACAGCACAGUAUGCAUGCUCACCCUGGACUAUAUGGCUUCCCUUCACGAGGCCCAUGCUCACUCUAUCACACUUCCUCCUCAACAACACGUUGCCCCACAGGGUACGAACGGAGGACCUCCACGCUCGCGCAGAACUCUGACGAGUGACUUGACUUUUCUGAGUCUGGACGCCCAUUUGUAAACAUGGACAGAGUGCUUCCUUUGAGGUCAUCCCGAGAAUUCAGUAAGAUAAUUUCAAGAAAGAACCAAGGUUUAGAGCACGGUCUUUGGAGGCAAACAUGCCUGCUUACUGGCGCUGGAACCUGGGCACAUUCGAUGGUAGAAAUGGUCAGUGGUAGAACAGAAGGAAUGUGGCUUUGGUGUCCAUCAGGCCCGUGUUUGAAUUCUGCCCCUGCCACUUGUUGGCCAAAUGACCUACAGGACGCACUCGGACUCUCCGAUCUUCAGCCCUCACGUGUAAACUGGGGGUGACGCCGGCUCCGGCCUCUUAGUCCGUGAUAAGGAUGAAAUGACACCAGUCCUCUUCAUCUGAAUGUCGAGGCAAAGACAAGUAGGAUGAGCAAGAAAGUGGGGGUGACUCUGGAGCCCUCUGUAAUAGGCAAGCCUGGGGAAGUGGAAGGUGGGACGGAGGCUCUGUGAUGGGUGGGCUUUGGACGGCCAGGCGGCGGCAUGCGGGCUCUGCCUGGGGCCGGAGAGGAGGAGGAAGGUGGGUGUGUGCCAGGGUCCCCCACAUAAAUGCCUGCGACGGUGGCGGGAUUUGAAGAACUGAGGAGCCACCCACUUUUUGUCUUCAGAUUAUAAAAAACCUGUGUUCUUAGACCAUAGUCACCAGCUUCCAUAAUCCACAUUUUUCCAAAGAGUCCAUAUUGUAAUGUUUAUUUUCUUGGCUGCUUCAAGAGUAGGAAGAAAAGCUUGAGCUCCUUCUGCUGGCUGAGUCAUAGACAAGCAGGUGUGGAAAUGACCAGAAAAGUUUUUCGGGAAGGAAGUGCUCGCAUCUGUGCACACAUAUUCAUCAGAGAUAAGUACACGCUAGAACGCACACACACACGCACACACACACACAGUGCCACAGAUAUUCACACUGACCCAGACCUACAGGUGUGUCAUAAUCCCACACACCAUAUAUUCUUACAGCCACAGCCAAAGACCUAUGUUUUCCCAAGUAUGAACAUAAAAUUCGGAGUCCCAACAGGGGUCAUCUCCUACAUACACAGAUACAUAUAUGCAUACACACAGGUACACACAAAUGCCCACAGCUCUGUGUGUAGGUGCAGAGCAACAUACACUCACAAACACACAAUCCACACUCACACAGACCCAGGGAAGCGUGCAGAGGCAUAUACGCUGACCUGGCCAGCAUCCAGAGGACGUGUUUACUGAUUCGUAGCCUCAAAGAUGCAGAAUCACAGAUGCACACGCAUAUAUGCACUUCCAAAAACACGUAGAAGCCUCUAGAGGCUCAUGAGGCAUAGACACAUGCUCAGACACCCCUCGACAUUUAUGCAGAGAUGUAGACAGGCAUAUGUGAACCCACACAGACACACAUGUUUGCGUGUGUGCAUGCGUAUAGACAGAUGCAUAAAGUCAUCCAUACGUGGACACGGGUGCAUGUGUAUUUACUGAGAUGCAGACACAGAGAUAUGAAUGCAAACAUUGAAACAUAAAGAGUCAUUUGCGGUUAGACACGUGUGUUUUAAACAUGUACUUACCGGUGUUGUCAUGCUUAUAGAGUCACAUACGUGUAUACACAGCAGCAUAGUUGUUAUUGUAGCACACAUGUAUAAACAAGUUUGUCCACAUACACACCGUGAAAAUUUAGUGUGCACAUGUGCACAUGCAUGAAAAUGCAUAUGGAAGUACAGAAAGGAAUGUUCGUGCAUGUGGGUGUACAUGUGGAAAUACACAAGCACGCAGGUGUACACAUAUAAAUACAUUUGUACAUGGAGACGUACACAUACAAAACAGAUACAAAACAGAGAUUUCGACUUGCAUAUACACAGAGAGAUAGUGGCAUAUACAUUUAGAGAGAUGCUUGUCUAUCUAGAGAGAGAUGUAUUAUAUAUAGAUCCAGAGAGAGAGAGAGAGAAAACAAUUGGGCAGAAAUGCUUUUAUAUGCAGAAACAUAUACCCACACUUAUAGACAUGGGCCUAAAGACCCACACAAAGAUAUACAUGGGCAAACACUUCUGCACUCACAGAGACUCACUCAGAUGCACAAGGGGAGCAUGUAAAGUCACAUACACGCGCAGGAGCGCACGUACAUUCACAGAGAUGCAGGCAUGUGCACAGAGGCAGCGGACCCACACCCAUAUAGAAUCACGAAGAGAUGGAUACGGAAGUUUGAGCAGAUACACGCAGAGACACAUAUACAGAUUUCCACACAUGCAGGUAUUCCACACGGAUGUACAGAUAGACACGGAGACCCACAGACAUCCACCGGAGCAAACACAGAGGCACACAGAAGCACGCGUGUCUGUUGAUCUGUGCACCUAGUCUUAGAAAUGCAUGCGCACACGGGCAGAAUCCAGGAUACCCUUCAGACAUACAGUUGUGCAGACACUUGUAUGUACCGCCGUGUGUGUGCAUGCAAACAUAGAUGAGUGUGCACACCACAGAAGCGUGCACAAACACGGCCAGACAUGUACACACAGACAUGAAAAAUUCCCACGCAUACAGAGUCCUUCUAUCAUGCAGCAACACGAACAUCUGCACAGGGACGCACAGAUCCAUUCACCUGGAGAGCCAGCCAAAGAAAUUCCUUCUCGCGUAGACAGAUUGAUGUAGACACACUCACGCCCGUCCCCAUGGACAUGCAGAUGGUCACACACACAGACACACGCAGAGGUGGCCGAACAGAUGGAUGAGCACUGAGGCACGCACCUGUGGAGGUAGAAGCACCUCGUCACAAAGAGGCUUCCAGGCAAGGAUGUACAGGUCCAGACCCAUUGACUCACACUCAGACACAGGCACAGACAUUAUGUACUCACAGACCCGGACACAUGCCCCUACUCACACAGAUGAAUAAUUGCAAGCGGUGAACAUGAGGACAAAACAUUUCCACACAGACAUAGAUGCCAUUGAUACACAUGGACUCAUGCAGAGAUAUAUACAUGAGAGUAUAGGUACAGGUCUACAGACUUACAUAUGUACACAUAGACAUGGGCACUGCCUCCAAAAAAAACAAGAUUUCAUCUACUCAGAUGGUGACACACUCCCAACCCCCCUUAUAGGCACAUGCGCACACAACUCUAUAAGAGCAUAUGUGUGUGCAACAUACGGGCACAUAAAUGCACAUGCACAUGUCCACUCAGAUGCCAGCUGUACCCACCCAGAAAUACACGCCCUCGGCAUAUAAAAGAGACGUUCACACAUAUAUUUGCAGACAACACGGACCUAAACAUGGUAUAAAAUACACACAAAUGCACAGACAUGCACCUUCACAUGUCAACAUGGAUACACAUUGUCACAUGUGUACAUACACACAAAUAAUCUACAAAUGUACUCCUGUGCCCACAUGGCACUCAAUCCUAGACGUGCAUCAGAUAUAUGGAUGCACACACAUACAUGUGCCAACAUACACAUAUAGAUGCAUACAUGGACUCAGUCAUGCUGCAAACAAACAGACACAUGCACAGAUAUGGAGACAUAUGCAGAUUUAUACAUGUGAAAAAAGAGACUCAAAUACUUACAAAAAGACACACAAAUAACACUUUUUCAAAGGACACUAUGACUUUUAAUGUACCUUUUUCUUAGCCUCUUCAAGAGAAAAUGGAAAUUAUUGAGCUCCCUCCAGUGACUAUACAGGAUAAAAGCAGAUGCAAAGAUUACCAGAAAGAGAUCUAAAAGAUCCGGAGUGCACAGGUGUUUGUGCGCAUGCGCGCGCGUGCGCACACACACACACACACACACACACACACACACACUUCCACAUGCACAGAACCACACAGAAGCACAGAAAGACAAAUAUGCAUAACCAAACGCAGAAAGACACAUAGACAGGUGUGCACACACACACACACACACACACACACACGCCCCACUGAAACAUCACACAGUAUACUGUUUAAGGGCAUGGCUACUGAAUUAGGAAAAACAAAACAAAACAAAACCUGCAUUUUCCUACUAACUGAAUGGUUUGGGGCCAUUUUCCUGCUUUCUUACCUGUAAUAUGGGGUAAUAUUAACACCUAUCUCUUAGAGUUGUUUAAAGUUUCAGUGAAAUGAAGGUUUUAGCCUUCUGCUUGGAACAUCAUAGAUGCUGCUUUUUGGGUUUGCUGGAACUGAAGUUCUUAGCUGCAUAAGGUUUGGGUUUUAUGAUCAAAGUGCAUGGUUCUAUAAUAGAAUGUAUUAAUGUUAUUUGUAGAUGGUAUUAAUGAAGGGUAGGAUACCUUCAUAAACAAGGCCAUUUAUGAAAUUUUCAGAGAUGAUAAAGGCUUAUUACUGUCCCUGGAAAUGGGAACAAAUAUUUCCUGUAAUUAUUUGUUGUGAUUGUCGCUGUUAGUCAUAUCCUUUUCCUUUUUGCAGGAGGAGAUUGGAUCAUUGAGAGAGCCCUUGGAAGAGGGGAAGAGGGCUGCAUGCCCAGUGCAUAUUUGCCAUCUAGUGACCAUAGUGAGUAAGUGCAGUGUUUGUGGAUUGCUCAGAAUAUCCCUACAAUUUCACCCAUUGCAAGGUUGCAUUACUGGCCUGGCAAAUAAGCUGGUAUACUUCAACUUAUAGUGGUUUCUGCUAUAUUCAGAAAUUAAAAAUGACAACAAAAUAAAAGAAAUCUCUCUAAAUUUCCUUUCCCCCACUUAGUUUUCCUCUGGGCUUCACUGAGACUGUGUUCUAUAGCAGUGGUUUUCAAACUUUCCAAGUAUAGGCCUGCUAAAAUAAUUUUGAGAAAUCUCAACUCCAUCAUCCUUCUUGAAGCUGGCAUCUGAAAUUUCUUAUCGCGUGUUUAAUUAUUUGUAGUUAUUAUUUCUAUUCUAGCAUAUUAUAAAUACUUAGACUUUUAAAUAAAGUGAUUUAAUCACAUUUUUAUAUUCAUUCAGUGAACUAAAACUACCAUAAUAUCUUGAUACUUGUCAUUGUUGAUUUAAAAGCAAACAAAGGGAAAAAAAACAUGGUCAGAAACUUUCAUGAUAUUAUCUCCCUGAAAUCCCCAUUCUAUGUAACUCCCCUCAAUAAUUUAUCCUAAUGUAAUAUAUUUUUGUGUUUAAAAGCCUUUACUGGUCAUCCUACUGUACAUCUCUAUGUUUUAAAUAUGGGUUGAAAUAAAUUUUCCUCUAAUGUUAAGUUUAUUAACUAUUAAACUUUUUAUCAUUGAAUUAUUAGUAGUAUACAGUUUCUCAAAACAAUAUGAAAUUUUACAUAUAUUUAUAAGUACUUACUAAAAAUUAAAACUCAAAUUUGGUUGGAAAUACAUCCUUUGAGUGCCUAUAGUUGUUAUUUCCCCCAAAUUAGUUCAUGACUCUAAGGAUGACUGUUACUUCUAAUGAGACAGUACAGUAUAAAUUUUAUUCCUAUUUUUCACAUAUAGAACUCUAAGAACUCAGAAAACUUUGUUCCCAUAAAUAGGUAGAAGGGAAUGGAAUGAAUGGCCAAGUCAUAAGUCAAAAAUCACAGUGAUCUGUCACCAAAAAUAAUUUUUAGUGAUUUAAAUGUUUUAAUUAAAAUUUAAAAUUCUUAACAGAGAACUUUUGAUUAGGCCUAUCCUUAGUUCCACGAAAGCAAAGAAGCCCCAAUUUUACAAAAGGAUUUGUUGCCGAAUCAUUUAUUUCUGAGUUUUCUGGUAAGUUUACCAAAAUGACUUUACCAUGCUUUAGCAAAUGACUAUAAUAUCGGUCAUACUUUCAUUUUGAGGCGUUAUUUUUAAUCCAAUGUGCUUACAAAAGGUUGGAAAAAUCAAAAUACUUAGAUGAAUAUGCCUUAGCCGAUACAAUAAUUUUGACAAAGUGCCUUGAAUUUGUUAUACCCUUUAAAUAUAAGACUUGGAGGCUUUAACUUCGGGUCAUGAUUUCAUAGAAAAUAUUUAUAAUAUAACUUAAUUGGCAAAGGCAAUGUCCAUAUCAAAAUAAUCAGCCAUAUCAGCUGUACCUUCAGAAAAAGUGUUCUACUUCAUUUCGCAGUGGAAAAAAGAAACUGAUAUGCACUUUGAGGAGUAAAUAGAUUAAAUAUUAGUAGAUUAAAUAGACUAAAAUUAUAAUGACAUUUUUAUCUACUUCAAAAUAAAUUAAGAAAUUAAUAAUUUUGUUUCUCAUGUGAUUUUAAAUUAGAGAAUGUAAUAUGUAGGUAACAUAAUUCAUGUAUGAAACAAGAAAUCCGAUGGCAGACGUAGUUUCCUUUGGUAAACACUUAUGCAUAUGUUUUUACAACUCUGGUGUCGGGUUUCUGGAAUAAUUAACUAGGAAUCAUGUACAAAAAUUUUAAAAUUCCAUUAAUUUUAUUAGACCACAGAAUCAAACGUUUCAACCAUAUUUUAUUAGGAGAAAAGUAUACAUAGGUAGAAAAUAAUCGGUCUGGAAAAUACCAUAUUUUGUUUUUGAAAAUGGGAGGUAGAAAAUACUUAUAAAAUGAAAUGAGGGUUGACUUUGAUUGGAAAAGAUAUUUCAAGAUUCAACCUGAGAAAACAGGUUUUCACUCAUUUAAUUGAAUGAUGGACCUCAUAAGAAAGAAAUCACAUACAAUUUCUAUGCAUCGGUUUUUCCAGUGUCACCAUUUUGCAAUAUAGGAAAACACUCUAGUUAUAUUUGCAGAAUCAGCAUCAGCAGUCUAUCCUGCUGUUAGUCAAGACGUGCAUUUCUUUCCAGUUAAUGAUGCAUUUAAGCAAGCGGUAUUGAGAAUAGUUGCAAACUAAUGCUUAAUUUUAAGCACGUGGGGAAAAAAAAGUUGUUAUUAGGCAGAUAAAUUUUAGUAGAGAAGAUCCACGGGAGCUGAGAAUCUGAGAGCGGAUCCCAUGCAAACUAUCCCUGCUCGCAUACUUCUGGAAAAGAUUUCAUGUACCAGUAGCCUAGUUUGAAGACCACUGCCCUAGACUGUUUUCAGCAGAAUUGCUCUAGAGCAUAUAUUGUUGUCAUCAUUGAGGUACUCAGUUCAUUGUAAUUGACAUUCACCAGAGUGCCGUGGAAAUAGCUGCCACUGUUGAAUUUCUGCUGAAUGUUCUGGAAGGGAUUAUUUUAUUUUGCCGAUAAACGUAUGUGUUGAUUUGACCUGCAUUGUCCCAUACAGGAGCCACAUGUGGCUAUUGAGCAUUUGAAAUGUGGCUGGUGCGAACUAUGAUAUAUUAUAAGUGCAGAAUACAGUCUACGCCAGAUUUCAAAGACAGGGCAAAGAUAAACACAAUAUUUCAUAAAUAUUUUUAUACUGAUCACAUGUUGAAAUGGCAAUCUUCUGGAUAUAUUGAGUUCAAUAACACAUAUUAUUAAAAUGAAUCUUACCUACUUUGUAAACUUUUAAAAACGUUGCGCAUGAAAUUUAAAAUUGCAUCUGUAGCUUGCAUCAUAUGUAUUGUACAUGAUGGUGCUGCUCUAGACCUUACGUUGGUGUUCUCGAACUUCCUCUAAAAGCAUGACCACAGGAACAACUGAUCUGUCCACGAAUCUGGUUCGGUAUAUUGGUAACUCUUGUGAAGCUAGUACCUUUUACCAGUGUUUGGGUUUUCAGGUUGGGGGGUUUCUAGUUGUAAGCAGGAGAAAGUAAAAAAAACCCUCAAUAUUCCACCAAGGAUAUUUAAAAAGUAGUCUUUUAUUAGCACCUAGGAAUUUUCCCAGUACGAACUUUGGGUGGCUUCUCAGCGGGUGCAUGGGCAGCUUUUCAGACUCUUCCAAAAUGCCAGUGGCAGAUAUGGCAUUCUAUUGAAGAUAUGAAGUAUUUCAUCACAUUUGAGAUGCUUUUUUAUGGAAUUAAGUUUUUAUGUAACACCAAGAAAGAAAACAAACACCCCUAAAUAAACUAUGAUGUAAUGCUUUCAUAUCCAUAGAAUUUUAAUUUUAUAUUUACUGAGAGAGCUCUUUUUGGCUUAUUUAGAUACAUGUUUAUCAUAUGUCAUGAUACUACAAUAGCCAUGACCAGAUUUCAGUAUAUACACAGGCAAUGACAGCUCCCUUUCAACUGCCUCCUGGCUGACAGCGAUGGUAAAAUGCCAUUGAUUAUAAGGUGCAUUCUGAUUUCAGAGAUGUAUAAAAGGCAAGAAAAAAUACAUGUUGGAAUCGGGUAAAUAUGUAAGUCAUUUCUUCAGAAAAAAGGACCAUGGAGGACAGAAAGCAAACCCUAAGACCUCCCCCUAGCGAAAACACCUGUGCUGUGUUUGCAGAAAACAAAAUGUGGCUCUUAUCUAAAAAUUUAUCCCAGCGCACUUAAAUGACAUUGCAUUAUGCAUUUCAUCUUAGUUGUCGUUUCAUGGUUUUCUUAGCAUUCUUUAUUUGUUUCCUGGCUCGGGAGUGGGAAUCGUGGUAGGUGGAGUAUGGCUGGGGAGACUGGAUCUCUCCAGACUGAAAAGGUCUAGCAUCUCUGUUGUGAGAACCACUUAGCACAGUCUUGUGUGAGGCUGUGCCUUCAAUGGCACUGUUUGUUCUUCGUAAGUGGGCUAACAGAGGGGGCCUUUCUCCUUGUGGUAGUUUAGUUUAAUUUUAACAUAUUCAUUGUAUCCUUUCUUGACUGAAGGGCUUGAGAAGAGGGACGAAUGGAGAUCGAGCGGCUUUUUGAGUUUUUGUUUUAUAUAGUAUUCAAGAGGGUCAGCAAGAUGAAUCAGAACUCCACAGGAAGUACAUUAUCUCAAGAAUCAAUGAAAACAACCCUAGAUUUGCUAUCCAGGAAUUGUGACACAUCUCUGAUUCUAAUGAUACUCUUGACAAUAGAAGAGAUUUACAAGAGGUAACAGAAACAAAAGUUUUCAUGAAAUGAGAAGAAUAAGAGAACCAAUGACAUGUUUCCUUCAUUGCCCCUACAGUGAAGCAUUAUUCUAAGAUUUACAUAUCUCUUAAGGGUUCAAAAGCAGGGCCAGCUUCACGGACUUGUGACUUGUGCGUCUCAUAGGGCUCCAUGCUUGGUUUAAGGCUCUGCUGUCCUGGUCUUGACAUUCUUAUUAAUAAGUUUGGUAAAAGGGGCCCCACGUUUUCAUUUUGCACUGGGCCCCACCAAUUACGUAGUUGAUCCUGUUCAAAAGGAGACACUUGAGAGAGAGAGAAUAAUGAACUCAAGUUGCGAAGUUAAAUUAGAAGUGUUGCUUCUCUAAUGUUAUGCACCGAAACUGAAUUCUUUAUGUCAGUACUCAUAAACAUAGUAUUCAUAACCUACCAUUGCUGUUGUUGUUGUUGUUGUUAGGUGUAAUAGUUGUCAAAGUAGUAACAGGAAUAGUAUUACUCAACAGUCCCUUAUUUUGACUCCCUCAUUUAUGUAUAUGACCUGGGGCAUCUUCUUUGUCUCUACUUUCUUUCUUUAAAUUUAAAAAUUUUUAUUUUAUUUCAUUUUAUUUUAAUUCCAGUACAGUGGACAUACAAUGUAAUAUUAGUUGCAGGUGUACAAGAUAGUGAUUGAACACCUCCAUACAACACCUGGGGCUCCUCAUGACAAGUGCCCUCCUUAGUCCCUGUCACCUAUUUCACCCAUCCCCCACCCCACUCCCCUCUGGCUACCAUCAGUUUAUUCUCUAUAGGCAAGAGUCUGUUUCUUGCUUUGUCUCUCUCUCUCUCUCUUUUUUCCUUUGCUCAUUUGUUCUGUUUCUUAAAUUGCACAUAUGAGUGAAUCAUAUGGUAUUUGUCUUUCUCUGAAUGAGUUACUUUUUAAUGUAUUUUUAAAAUUCUAUUUACUUAAAAAUUUUUUUUUUAGUCUUUAUUUUUGAGAGAGAGAGAGAGAGAGAGAGAGAGCAAGUAGGGGAGGAACAGAGAGAGAGAGAGACACAGAAUCCAAGGCAGGCUCCAGGCUCUGAGCUGUCAGCACAGAGCCCGACGCGGGGCUCGAACCCACGAACCCNNNNNNNNNNNNNNNNNNNNNNNNNNNNNNNGCCCGACACGAGGCUUGAACUCACGAACCACGAGAUCAUGACCUGAGCUGAAGUUGCCCCCUCUUCUUUAUCCAUUCAUCUGUGGAUGGACACUGGGUUGCUUCCAUAAUUUGGCUAUUGUAAAUAACACUUCCAUAAACACAGGGGUGCAUGUAGCCCUUUGAAUUCGUGUUUUUGUAUUUUGGGGGUAAAUACCCAGUAAUGUGAUUACUGGAUCAUAGAGUAGAUCUAUUUUUAAAUUUGGGGGGAAACUCCAUACUGUUUUCCACAGUGGCUGCCCCAGUUUGCAUUCCCACCAACAGUGCGACGGGGUUCCUUUUUUUCCACAUCCUCACCAACACUUGUUUCUUGUGUUUUUGAUUUUGGCCAUUUGACAGGAAUGAGGUGAUAUCUCAUUGUAGUCGAGAUGGGAUUACACCUGAUGAUGAGUGAUGUUGAGCAUAUUUUCAUGUGUCUGUUGGCCAUCUGGAUGUCUUCUUUGGAGAAAUGUCUGUUCAUGUCUUCUGCUCAUUUUUUAAUUAGAUGAUUUGGUUUGGGGGUGUUGAGUUGUCUAAGUUCUUUAUAUAUUUUAGAUAAUAACCCUUUGUUGGGUAUGUCAUUUGCAUAUUCUUCUCCCGUUCAGUAGGUUGCCUUUUAGUUUUGUUGAUUAUUUCCUUCGCUGUAGAGAAGAUUUUUAUUUUGAUGUAGUCCCAGUAGUUUAUUUUUGCUUUUACUUCCUUUGCCUCAGGAACAUAUCUUCAAAAAUGUUGCUAUGGCCAAUGUUAGACAUUACUGCCUGUGCCCUCUUCUAGGAUUUUGGUGGCUUCCUGUCUCACGUUUAAAUCUUCGAUCCAUUUUGAGUUUAUUUUUGUGUACAGUAUAAGAAAGUGGUCCAGUUUCAUUCUUUUGCAUGUAGCUGACCAGUUUUCCCAGUACAACUUGCUGAAGAGACUGUCUUUUUCCCAUUGCAUAAACUUUCUUGUUUUGUCAAAGGUUAAUUGACCAUGUUAGCUGUAAGUUUAUUUCUGGGUUUUCUAUCCUGUUCUGUAGAUCUGUGUGUCUGCUUUUGUGCCAGUACCAUAAUCUUUUGAUGACCACAGCUUUGCAGUAUAACUUGAAGUCUGAAAUUGUGAUGCCUCCAGCCUUGCUUUACUUUUUCAAGAUUGCUUUGGCUAUUUGGGGUCUUUUGUGGUUCCAUACAAAUUUUAGGGCUAUUUGUUCUAUGCGUCUCUAUUUUUCUUACCUAUAAAAUGGCAUUGCCAUUACACAUACCCUCCUUAACCCUAGAUGAGGCUAAUUUAGAAUCAGAUUGAAAUGCCCAGGGAAGUACUUGUGAACUGUAAAGGCUAAAACAGAUGUAAGAGCAUAGAGUCUGGGCAGCAGCCACCUGCCUAGGGGUCCUGGGGGCCUGAGUUGGGCUCACCGGUGAGGUUGCUCUGGCCCGUGACUGUAGAACCCAGAGGGUUCUAAAGCCAGAAAAGCAGUGCCUCUGAAAUUUCAAGAGCCCAAGCAGUGCAUCUCCUUACUGUCGAAAGGGCCGGGUCAAGGCACCUGGAUGGAAAUCACAAAUAUGCAACACGGUUAGAGGGUUGAGUAAAGAGGAGAGGAAAGUAAAGAGGUUGAGUAAAGAGGAAAGAGGAGAGGGUUGAGUAAAGAGGGUGGAGUAAAGAGGAGAGUAGCUGGGAAAGCGCCUCUGAGCCCCCGGGGCAAUGCCACAGGGCUUUUUCUAGGGCACCUGCAGCUACAUCCAGGGUUGGGGAGGAAAUGGCCAAGGAUGCUAGCCACCUCAGACUACCACAGUUUUCUUAUUGCCUAGAAUGGAAGUGUAUUUAGAGUUGCCAUUAUCUGCGUAAGAAAAGGAAACUUUUGUCCCCAUUGUGGGAAGGAACUCAUUUUCUCAGAAGUAAAGAGGGAAAGUGCCACAACAGAGACCUUGAGGAGGUCAGGAUGCAAGAAAGCCUGCCAGUGAUUUCCAUGGUGAGUCCUCCCGGCCUUUGUUAAAAGCUUUUGCUUUUAACAGUACAACGGAGAGAUGAACGUAGCACUUCAAAUGAGGUCACGGGAGAUGCCAUUCAAAAUAUCUUGGCAAUGUCUCCUUGUCACUGAUGGGACAUGGAGAUCGAUGGUUUGCAUUAUUUCAUACAUCAGAGAUCUCUGAAGACUUUGUCUCUUGUGGGUGACGCAAGCAAGGGUAGGGAUGUAGCUUUUUAGGACUGAGUGUCCAGGAGAAGACCGUUUUCUGGCCAGGACGAUACAGUGUAUUUGGUCGCAUGUCUCUGUUGGGAAAUAAGGGGUGGCUGCGUUGUGCCUGAAUGAAGGGGUGAAACGGCUGGUAUGUGUUUGCACUAUUUUGAUUUUUUUUUUUUUUUGCACCUGAGUUUGCCCACUAGGCCCAGUCAGUGCAAGGGCUGAGGACCUGGUAAGCUAAUAGCAAAGGGCCAGUAUCUGGUCUGUGAGUGGUUCAGAUCUGAGACUUACAGCUUCCUAGCACCUUGACUUGAGGAGGAUGCAUGACAGACCAGAUCGGGAAUGGAGACAAGGGACAAGUGUGCUGAUUGGGCAACUGUGUGAGCGCGUCAUUGAGCGGGUUCAUUUUGAGAGGUUUUCGUCACAAGAGAACCUGCAAAGGGGAGUUGGCUGUAGCACAUAGAGAUCUGGGUGCAGGCAGAGAGAUCCGUGCACAUGAGAGGGUAAGGAGCUGGGAGGGUGCUGUUGGGGGGCUUCGUGAAUGAGUUGGAUGGGGAGUUGUCUGUGCAGGUAUCUGUAACUGACUUAGUUAAGCUCUGCUCGGGUCGGGAUAGGAGCUCUUUUGAGCUACCUGUGGCUCUGCCUGAAAUCCCUACCGUGUUCCCAGACCAGCAGAGAGAGGCCGUGCCCAUUGGUGAAGGUAGGUUGGGAGUUCGGUAAAGUUCUCAUUUGUAAUAUAAAAAGAUUUCCAGUGUUUCUCUUAGGACCCCAGUUGAGGCUGAGGACCAGAGAAGGGAAGAUGAUAAUAUAGUCUCAAGUUGCAAAGAACCCUUAAAGACCAUUUAGUGCAGUCUCUGUAUCUCCAUUUUGAAAUCUGCAAUAAGUAGUUUCUUCUACCUUGGUGUGAACAUCUCCAGUAUGGGGCACUCCGUGUCUUCUGAGGUGGCCCAUUCAGUCUCUGGCCAUCUUUAUAGUCCUGCCUCUUGUUGGACUGAAAUCUGUCUCCCCGGGAUGCACAUUCUGAACCUGGGGCAAGUCACUUCCUGCUGACACAUGACCCUUUUUAAAAAAAAAAUUUUUAAUGUUUAUUUAUUUUUAAGAGAGAGAGAGAGAGAGCACGAGUGGGGAGAGGCAGAGAGAGAGAAAGAUACAAUCUGAAGCAGGCUCCAGGCUCUGAGCUGUCAGCACAGAGCCCGACGCGGGGCUCGAACCCACGAACCCUGAGGUUGUGACCUGAGCCGAAGUCAGGCGCUUAAUCAACUGAGCCACUCAGGCGCCCCGACACAUGACCCUUUUGAUCAUUGAAGACAGUUCCUGUCUCAUUGAACUCUUCUCUUUGCCUAGGUUAGCCUCUCUCUGCCAUUCCCCAUUUGACAAUUUUGGCCCCUGUUCCCCUUGUUUUCUCCUUCUCGACAGGGUACAAAAGUCAGGUACCCUCUCACCAGGGUACUAGAGUCUUACACUGUCUGACCGCCUGUUCCUUAAGCUGAAUAUCAUCUCUCUACUGAGCGCAUGGCAUUUACGGUCAGAUUGUUGACUCUCUCAGAGUUUCCAGAAGUCUAAACUGAGCUUGAAGAUGCCUGAAACAUGCCUCAGUAAGAACAAAGGGGUAGCCGAUGCUUGUGACCAAAAGUAGUUUCCCCACUGAAAGUUAGGUCAUGGUGGUACAGGGAGGAACGAAAUGGAGGGUAGAAAGUUAUGUGGCAUGUUGUCUUUUGUUAAGAGCUUUACUAUCUGUUUUUCCUCAACGUAUCCCUAAUUUAUUUACAUAUCAUUUCAUAUGGAGUCUGGGAGCCCGAGAAAACAUGGAAAGAUAAACCUUAAAUGGGGUUGAGGAGCUGUAUUAAUCACACACGUCGCUCAUGAUGCAGCAGGAGUGAGCUUGAAACUUCCUUUCUCUCUUUAUGUCCCCCUCCCCUGACACAGUCUUAGGAAUGAACAACAUUACCUGCGAGUAGAGGGAAAGAGGACUCAGUCACUAAAGAAUACAGCAAGGCGAUUUUUUUUCUUCCUCUAGAAUUUCGCUAAUAAGUUUGCUCACUAGAUGGGCUGAAAAGUGUGCUAUGUCCUGCAUCUAAAUAACUCAACACUAAUCCCCAGUAGAAGGUAAAGAAGAUGUUAUAUGGUGGAUUCACGCUUCAGACAAAUGAGGGGGAGCAGGGUCCAGUGUGAUAUUCCUUCUUGAGAAUGUUCCCAUUCCUGGCUCAUUUACAUAGCGCACAUCACAGUAAUCACUCGCUUAAAAUCAUGUAAUUAACACUCUAUGCAAGGGUUAUUUUACAACAAGAGAGGUGAUAGCUACACAUGUAUUUAUGGACAGAGCGGACCACACUAUUUAGUACUGGGAGUGUUCCGGAAAGAAGAGCCAUAUGGAUGCAGACUUUGCUUGCAUUGUACCAUAUUCACAAUUACAUAUUCUGCCCCCCCACCCCACACCUCCUUGCCAUCGACUCCACUUACUGCUCUUUCCGCCUUCGGUCUUGGGACUGGAGUUUUCCUAGUUUCGAAUCUCGUUCCUCGCCUCUGCCCCACCCGAAGUGUCCUGAGGAAAACAGUGUGUAAGCUUCAAAUACAAAACUGAGUUCAUUUAGAAAAGGAAAGAGAAAUACAUUUUUCCUGCAUGGGAGUUUUCUUAGUAGGAGAAAUGAUAAAUACAAUAAGCAGGCUUUACUUAGGUCAAGGGUGCGCUGAGCUGGGAUAUUGUCUUUUUUCAAAGUUUGGAAAUCUCUGGACCAGUGAACGAAGAAUUACAUUGGAAUGUGUUGGAUCUUGGCCUGACUUGUCACGCACAGCAGCACGGGCCCUGUGAGCCUGUGAAACCGCGUGUAUUGGCUUUGACUGGAGUCGUCUCAGCUGGCGGUGGGAAGGGACAGCCAUGCCCAGCUGCCUUCACUGGGAGCAGACCUUUUGGAAGGGGCGGGAUGGGGCACAGGCAGCAAAGUUCCUCUGGUGCCCUGGCCCAUCCCUGCCCUGGAUUCUUCCUCCCCUUCUUUGGCCAAUAGCCUGUCAGUAGGGAGACAGUGUAGACAGGUGGCGAUGCCUCAUGUGGUUAAAGGGCCACUCCAUGCUCCUUCACAGAUAGAAAGCCGAGAUAGAAGAAUGAAAAGUAGAACUUCCAGUCCUAAAGAUACUACCUGACUUUUCAUUUGAAUGAAACUUUUUUAAAGUUAUGAGCUUCAGGUUUAAUUUAAAUAUUCAGGAAACUAUAUUUUCUUAUUUAUUUAUUUAUUUAUUUAUUUAUUUAUUUUGCGGGAGAGAGAGCGUGCGCGAGCGAGCCAUCAGGGGAGAGGCAGAGAAAGAGGGAGAGAGAGAAUCCCAAGCAAGUCAGCGUGAGAGCCCCAGGCAGGGCUCGGACCCACAAAACGCGAGAUCAUGACCCAAGCCGAAAUCAACAGCCGGACGCUCAACCUGCCGAACCACCCAGGUGCCCCCAGGAAACGAUGUUUCUUGUGUAGAGGAAGUGAAGCCAUGAGGCGGCAAACGUAUUUCAUUUCGCUGCCAUUUAAUGGCAGCAGGUAGGUGAGCCUUUGAUCUGGGAGUUCCUCAGUUCUCUUCCCUCAGCCUGUCCGUUCAAGGUCAGUUCUCUGAUGUUAUCCCUUCUGGUUUAUCCAGACAAUGGACGUCUUUGGUAUCGAAUGCCAGAAAGUUAUAGUUUACCCCAGUUGAACAUGUUGAACAGGAAGGCAGAAAACAUGGAUUCGUCAUGUCACUGCACUACUGACUAGUUGGGUAGAAUCUUUACCUCAUCACCAGUUUCCUCAUCUUUAAAAUGGGAAGAACAAUAAUAGUUGCUCUGCUUAUUAUAUCAUAGGGUUAUUGUGAAGACAAGUGAGAAAAUACGUAUGAACACAUAAAAUUUAAUGUGAUACACAGUUGUGAAGUAUUGUUAAUUGUAAUAAUAAGCCUAAGUAACUUUUCAGAUGUGGGAAACAAUACCUAACAUAUUGAACAUGGGCGGCUUUUGCUGCCCCAGUAAAGUUAUGAAUGCUGGAGAUUUUAGCAUGUACUUCUGUUUCUUAGAAUUUGCAGACAUCUUUUGAUGUAUUUUAUAAAGGUAAAGAUAAUUCAGCUGAGUUAGAUCCCAACCUUUUUCGUAGAACUGGUCGGUUUUCAUGGAUAUGUGAAAAGGGGUGGUUUCCACAAUUUGGAAAUUGCUUUUAUUUUUUUUAAUUUUUUUUAUUUUUUUUUUAAAUUUUUUUAAUGUUUUAUUUAUUUUUGAGAGAGACAGAGACAAGAUGCGAGUGGGUUAGGGGCAGAGACAGAGGGAGACACAGAAUCCAAAGCAGGCUCCAGGCUCUGAGCGGUCAGCACAGAGCCCGACAUGGGGCUUGAACUCACAAGCUGUGAGAUCAUGACCCAAACCGAAGUCGGAUGCUCAACUGACUGAGCCACCCAGGCGCCCCUGGAAAUUGCUUUUAGAUGACGACUCUGUAACCUAUCAAACAUGAGGCAGUGCUCCGCGUGAUACAUCCCAAGUAGACCUACUGCCUUCACUGAGAGCAGGAAUAGAAAACUUUGGGGUCAUUGAGCGUUUUCUAAAAUUCUCUAAUUAUCUUGGGUCACAGGGGGAUGGGAGAGUUUUUGUGACGCAUUUUAUUUACCCCCAGCCCCAAGAGAAGCAAAUUGGCACACUUUGUAAAAUAAUGAAAACUAGGGAAGGAGGUAUUGCAGCUCGCAGAGGAAAAUGGGUUGAUUCUCAGCACACAGGUACCAGUCCCUGGAGUUUGAGAUCAGUUCCCCUAGGGAAGGCUUCCGGAACCAGAGUACAAGCGCAAUUUGAGGCCGAGUGAAUGACCCAGACACAAGAGUGUUCAGCUUGUGCCCCGGCGGACCAGAAGCGGACCCCGAGUGUCUGUAAAUUACAGGAAGGCUUAGGAAAGGAGGAACAGGGGUGACUGGAGAAGGCAGAGAGAUAAUAUCUGUGGGUAACGACUUGGAAAAUAUUUUAAUCUUUGCAUCUUAGAAACUGCAAAGCUACAAAACUUAAAAAUGACUAUUGACAGAGGACUGUUUAAUCCGCAACACAAUCACUGUGAGUCCAAACCACAGAAUACAUUCUGGAGAGGCUUCAGUUUCUUUCCGUGGCGGGAUGAACAAUUUGCUGAGGUGGAGUUUCAGAGGAAACCAGAAGAUUAGCUUUGUAUUUGAUGCAGAGUAUUAGAGGGCUUCCUAAAGAGAUUAAAUCAAAACCUGAUUACGGUCCACUAAGGCUUUAUUAAUGUAGCAGACAUUUUUUUUUUUUUUUUUUUGCUUUUCAAGUUUUUCAUUUAAACUUGUGUUUGUGAAUAUUAUUAAACUUCUUGGGAUUAAGGACUCUUAAAGUCCCUCGUUUGCAAAGCCCUAUUAUUCGGCUCUCUGCAGGGGCUCAGAAAGCCCUCUUGGAGUUUACCCCCACACCCAGUCAUUAUUCCCCCGGAGGUGGCGGGGGCGGGGGGGUGCUUAGGAAAGCCAAAGGGGAGCUGGAACAGCUUUGGCAGAGGAACUUGGCCAGGGGAAGAGAGACCUUUACGAUUGUUCCUUCACCUUCCCCGUACCAUCCUCUCAUCCCCUCUCGGAUUCCUGGCUGAUGAUUAUUCUAGGGACAGGGCAUCGUGUUUAGCCCCGAAGGAGAAGUGUGGCUCGGCCUCUUGAGCGAGUCUGCCCCCCCACCCCGGGGUCCUGAAGCUUCUCUCCUGCCCUCCCUUUGCAUGUCACUGCCUUCGCCUAAGAAGGCUCCUCUUCCUUCACUUGGCUGUUCACACUCAUCCCAUCCUUCAAGGCUCAUCUCAAAUGCACCCUUACCGUCGUCCCUCCCAGCAUAGUCAAGAAACAAAAUCUUCAGCGGUCUCUGACGUCCCCAGCUCUGCCCACUCAGCGGCAAAACUUAAAAAUCUCAGUUCCAGGAGGAGGAGGAAGCAGAGAGCGAAGGUGCCAGACUUUCUUGUGGGGAAAGGCUUCUCUGCCCCUAACAUCCACAGCCCCUCAGUGUCAUCUGUGUGUGUCGCCUUCAGAUGGCUCGUGAAUCCUGCCAGAGGAACGGGACCCUGGCCAAGCCCCAUAAUGAGGAUUUUCUUGCUUACUCUGUGCAGGUAUUUGAAUGUCUUGUAAACGUACGAUGGACUGGGAAGGAAGGCUGCCUUUCGCAUUUUUUUGGUAAAAAUUCACGCCCAACUCUCAGAGGGUACUGUAAAAUUGGACAAGCAAGAAUGCAUUACUCUUCAGGGUAAAUGGCGAUUUUCUCACCACUCUGUAACACAAAAGAAAGGAAAACAACCCCUGGCUGUGGAAGCUAAAACCAUAGCUCUCCUCCUUAAGCCCUGAUUUCAAGUGUUGGAGUUUAUCAAAACGGCCUGUCCCUUCAUCCCACCCCAUCUAUGUGUCCUUUUCUCAUUUUCAGUCGAAAUGAUCUAAAAAAUUAUUAAGAUAUAUAUCUAUAAAAAGAUGUGUCUCCCAUAAUAUUGCAUACGCAUGCCCUUGAACACUUAGAGUUUUCAGAUAGUUCAGCCAUUUGUAUAUUCCUUUCCCAUACAUGUAAGCAUGUUGAAAGUAGCAGUUAUAUUUCCUUUACUUUUGUGUCCUUUGCAGGGCCUGGCACAGUGCCUUGUAUACGGGUGCUCAGUGAAUGAUUGAAUGCAUGAAGGACAGAACCAGCGUGUAUGUGGCUGUUUGUAUCUCCAUGUCGGCUCUUUGCUCAGUUAUGUGAUGUAAUGCUGACAAGCCAUAGAAAAGCCAGUACUGAGUGGGGCAGAACUGUCUCCAGGUUAACCCUGAUGGAAACCACUGAAGAGGAUAAGUAAAGGAACAAAAAAGGACCCAAACACAUUGGCCCAUAACUUUCUCUAGUACACAACUGCAUAUUAGGGAAACACAUGUUGGUAGUUACUUAGGCAUCUUUUUUGUGGGGAGGAAACACUUUUUUUUUUUUUUUUAAUUCUCAAGUUAGUUGACAUACAGUGUAGUCUUGGCCUCAGGAACAGAACCCAGUGAUUCAUCUCUUACAUAUGACAUCCAGUUGUUAUCCAACAAGUGCUCUCCUUAAUGCCCAUCGCCCAUUUAGCCCAUCACCCCCCCACCUCCCCUCUAGCAACCCCCUAGUCUGUUCUCUGUAUUAAGAGUCUCUUGUGGUUUGCCUCCUUCUCUGUUUUUAUCCUAUUUUUCCUUCCCUCAGGGAAACACUUUUUAGUUACCACACACUCCUGAGUAUUAGGCAGUUUGCAAUUAGUAUCUAAGUAACCCUUACCGUUUCGUUCAAAAACAGAUGAAAGAGGGCCGCCUGGGUGGCUCAGUCGGCUGAGCGUCCGACUUCGGCUCAGGUCAUGAUCUCACAGCUCGUGAGUUCGAGCCCCGUGUCAGGCUCUGUGCUGACCGCUCAGAGCCUGGAGCCCGCUUGGGAUUCUGUGUCUCCCUCUCUCUCUGCCCCUCCCCAACUUGUGCCACAUCUCUGUCUCUCAAAAAUAAAUAAACAUUAAAAAUCUUAAAAAAAAAAAAAAACAGAUGAAAGACUAAAGAGGUCUGUGUAACCAACCAGUGGUCCUUAACAGCCUUGAUAAACCUUUUGUUUAAUUCAGGUCUGUUAAUGAAGCUGCUGAUUACUCCUACCACAUGUGUGGAUUGUUCCAGAAAUCACUCUGUUCAGUUGGGGAUCUCUUGAGUGAAUUUGGCCCUGUAUGCGCUGAAAUUGACAGUUGACGAGGCAUCAGAUAAGGUGUCCAAAGCCUGCUGUGCUAAAAUUAAAAAUCCCAACAAAGUGGAAAUUUGGUAUUUUAAUUUCUAACAUAAAACGAAUAGCCUUUUGAUCAAUUUCUGUUUUUAUUCAGCAUUACAGAAAAUACUUCUUUGCUAAUCAAGAAAAGGGAGACUUAGCACAGACACCACCUUUUCAAUGACAGUCUUUUUCAGGAUAGAGAGAACGACCUAAGAUUCCAAAGCCUUUGCGCUGUAGCAAAUCACGAGCACAAUCUGGUACAAGCCUUCCCCCCUUGGGCCUUGAUCGCUGUUCAUAGGUGAUGGAGUUGGACCAAAUAUCGACUGGCUCUUCCAGCUCUGGCCCUUUCAGUGACUCUGCAGAUGAAAUUACUUAAUUACUUUCCAGAGCACCAUUCUGGAGUGGCAGCCCAUAGGGAGGUAAAAGCCAUACCCACUUGGCGGGUAUUCACUCAGACAUACAGCUGUGCUGUCCGGUGCAGAGUAUAUACUGUAUGCGUAAAAUACACAUCACGCUUCGAAGACUUAGAAUGGAAAAGAUCAUUCCAUGAGUUUUUAUAUUGAUUACACGUUGAAAUGAUAAUGUCUUGGAUAUAUUUGGUGAUAUACAAUAUGUUAUCAUAUUGAUUUACCUGGUGCUUUCUAUUUUCUUCUUUGGAUUAUGUAAACAAUUUAAAAUUAUAUCCAUGACUCAUACUAUUACAUUUCUCUUGGGCAUCUCUGGCCUAGAGGGUUCCUCCUUCUCCAUGUGACCUGAGUUCCAGUUACGUAGAAACCUCCCAAGGUUGAAACCAUCUAAACCUGUGGUUCUCAGCCUGGAUGCACUUUAGAAUCACAUGGGGAUCUUUUAAAAAAUACAGAGCCCCCCUCUCCUUAUGGUUCUGAUUCACCUGAUAAGAGCUCAUAGUGAUCUCUCUCCUGUGCUCAGAAUUUCUUCCGUAAGGCUGUAGGUGGCGUCGUCAUAAAGAGAUUGAGUCUGUUAGUUGAAAGCCAGAAGCACGUCCUGGGCUGGACAGCUGCCGGAUGCCGGGGGACAGAACACUCAAACAGGCUUAGCCCCUCGGACCCUCAGCUAGUUCUUAAGAGCAAAAGAGCCUUCUCCUUAGCUCUUCAGUUGCAAAACAUCAAGCAAACAGACACAAAACAGUAACUUGAAUUAAUUCUGUCUUAGCCGCUGCCGCUUAUUUGAGUUUCUGAAAAUCAGCUUACAGCAUUCCAGCCGGCCUCCCAGGGAGUUGCUUGGCGUUGCUUGGUCUGUUUUCAGAGAGGAAAAUGGGGCCCAAGGAGUAGGACCAUGAAUUCCUUCUGCCACAUUCUUGUCAUUUUGUUUUACUUUUGUUUUAGUGGGGAGACUUUUUUUUUUUUUGACUCUUAAGGGGUCUGAGGAAGGGAACAUACAAAAGGCAGUUUCACUGGACUCAGACUGCCCUGUCAAAUGGGGCAAACAGCCAUCAAGUUCAUGUUGAGUCCUAGUGGCAUAGGCUGCAUUUUCUAGCCUGACCCUCAAACUCGGGGAGCUGCCCUCCCUGGUCUGCCAGCCCCGAGUACUCAUCAGAGUCACCGUUGUUUGUGGCUAGACCCUGGCAUGGGCCCUAGGUGAGGAGGAAGCUGUUCCCCCUUCUUCACAGUCGUCCUGAAUGGCCACAUUUGGUGCCACCUGCAGUGAUGGUGACACCAGGUCAGAGCACUGGAGAGUUAGUAAAAGUUCCAGUAAAUAAUCCUGGGUGUCCAUAGUGCCCCGAGGCUUCACCAGUCAUCUCUCUGCCUAGGAUUUUGGAUUAAAUGCCACUUCCCUACGAUUAAGUUAAAGGUGUCUCUGUCGUCUGAGUUAUUUUGGAGUGACUGUGCCACUUUACUAGCUAUGUGAUGUUGGGCAAAUGACUUCUCUAAGCUGCACUUGGAAAAUAGGAAUCAUAACAGUACCUACCUCAUAUUCUCGUGGAGAUUUAACGAGUUGCUCUACGUGUCUCCAGCACCCUGCAUGGUGACAUGCCCAGAACAGCAGCUGAGGAAAGGUUUGCGGAGUGAAUAGAUGAAUGAAUUCACAAAUACUAAUAUAGCAGUGGAACCACAUGCUUACAGAGAUGCCCUCUGUUUGGAUCCGUCUACGAGUACCAGGGUUUCGUAUGCUAAACUAAUUGCUGACGUGUAAUUAGUUUCUCUCUCAAGUAUUUAGACCCCAUGUAUCUCCAUUCCUCUGGCAUUUGCAUACAAUAGAUGCUAGACAUAGUUGCAGAGCUAAACAACUUCUACUAUUGGCUUUGAGGCUCACACUGGCCAGAGUACACGUUUUAUGUUGCAGAGAUAUUUUAGGGGAUCAAAUUGUUCUCACACGUGAACAAUGAUAAAUAUAGAUACUUUAUAGCCACAUAUAAGUAAAUUCUACCGAAUAAGGAGCCGUGAAAAUGGACAAGCACGAGUUAGAUUAGUAAGUAUAUAUUAUAUUGAAAUAUGUACAUUUUAGUGCUUGAAGAAAAUAGUAGGAUUCUCUGAACUACCCAUAUAACCUCUCCCCCCACCCAAGUAGAGCAGAUGGGUAACUAGUAACCCAAAUUUUUCUUCUCUCUUUAAUUUUUUUAACGUUUAUUUAUUUUUGAGAGGGGGGGCACGGGCAGAGAGAGAGGGAGACACAGGAUCCGAAGCAGGCUCCGGGCUCUGAGCUGUCAGCACAGAGCCCGACACGGGGCUUGAACUCAUGAACCAUGAGAUCAUGACCUGAGCCAAAGUCGGACGCUUAACUGAGCCACCCAGGCGCCCCUCCCAACUUUUUCAAGAACAGCUGUAAGAGGAUAGUGAUAUUAACGAAGAGAUAUUACAUGGAGCCAUGCACUUAAAUUUUUUAAAUGUCAGGUGUGGUUUGAAAAGAUAACACCAUGUUUUUUUGUUUUCUUGUUUUUACUGAGGACAGGUUUUCUGAACGUUCAUCUUCGUGCUAUAGUCAUAAUGCAAAUUAACUUUGGAAACCUUUUGGAUUAAGACACGGUUGUGGCUACAGUGAAUAAAAGUGACAUGCUUUGAAGUUAGGUCCAGUUUAGGGAACGUCAACCCAGAUGCAGUUCAUCAGAACUCCAAUUUUAAAGCCAGAUCACCUCCGUGGCUUCGUUUUAAUUUUUCUUAAUCCCAUGGAUCAUUUUCUUUCGGCAUCUCCACCACAGAUGGGGGACAAGAGCAGAGAAUAUGAAGACCUGUCACGUGGGCAGGGACAAAGCGAGAAAGAGGAAAAAAAAAAAAGGCACAACUAGAGUAAGAGAGGCUGGAUGUGUAGCGGGCUGAGGAAGGACGACAGGGAGCUGGGUCACAAAGGGAGCUGGGGCUGUGCCCUAGCCCGUGUGCCUGGGCGAACAGAAGGAAGUAUGCAUUUACCAUGCCAUUACUUUAUUUUCAAUCUUGUAACAGCUUUUUAAGUCAACAUGAUAUUUUACAGCAAUUAACUGUAAUUACAAAUCUUAAAAACAUUUUUGUGGAUAAUUACAUGCUUAAUUGUUGUUCCUUCAUUUUCAUUUAAUUCUAAAAGAAAUUAACUGUGCCAUUUUGACAAGUGCUUAGUGUUUUUUUUAAUACUGAUCAUGAAUACUCUACUACUUAAAUUUGUUGUUACACAGUCUCACAAACUUUUCCCUAGUCUGAAAGUGUCUAUGGAUGUUUGCAAUAAGUCCCCUGUCUGCAAGCCAGUUGCACACUACUCUCACACAUACGAUUGCUUGGAAGGGACUGUCACCACCGGCAAGGAAAGAUGACCCACUUAAUUAAUCGGCGGCAGACUAGAGAAGGAUUGGGCUCCGUAUUUUCUGAUGGCGAUUGGCCACUUGGUGGCAGGCUACCAAGUGAGUUGUUGAUCCAUUGGAACUCAGCCCAUUUGGAUUGCCAGGAUUGGCUUUCUGUCAUCAGGCUACUAAAACUGUGUGUUUGGGGAAGAUGAAAAAAAUUAAAAAGACUAGUAGUCUGUGUAACUCACCAGGUUUAAACUCUCUAAAGGAAAAAUAUAGGCCUCGACGAUAGGGUAGAUGAAUGGGAGAAAUCCUGACCACUUGGACUUAGAUGUGUUGAAUGAAUCUCUGAGAAAUUCUGUUAACUGGCCCAGAUAGCAUCUGAAAUGGUGUUUGUGGUGGGGAGGGAUAAAGGUAAAUGGUACUGAUGGGGAGUUUCAGUAAGUGUUAUAUUUGCAGUGAAUUCUUAAUAGGAGGGGCAGAAUAAAGGUAAGCAUACAGAAGACAUGUGACCAAGUUCCAAUUUGAAUGCUUAUGAGCCCUGUAACCUUCCAUGAUUUCUUCAGACCGAUAAAUUAGAUAAUGUGGGUAAAAGCACGGAGGAUAGUAUUUGACACGUGGUAGAUUCUCAGCCAGUCUUCUUAUUCUUCCUUCUCUUAAAUCUUAAGAGUCGGGUUAUUCUAUAAAGAACUCAGUUUUGAAGAUUACUUCAUUCCAAGAUAUUUUAUUUUUACUUCUUUGAUUUAUCAGUUGAUGGCAUAAGAAUGUCCCAUUAUUAACCUGUAGACCCAUAUAUUUUUAUGAUAUUUUAAAGCUUUCCUGCCAUUGCAUUAUAAUACAAGCUUUUUCGUUUAUUAUUUGUCUUGUGGUGCUAAGAUAAUGUUUUGAAUAAUGUGAAAGGAAGGCUAGGACUGGGAUAUAAUCACACUGACAAACGGAUACAUCGUGUUUUCCCAGAAUGUAUAUAUACCUAUUGUAUGAACCUGAAAAUAAGUUUUCUUUAUGGGUUUUCAUCACUUUGUCCUAUUCUCUUGGAGGAUGUUGAUGUUUGUUUUCCUAAUAUCUCCAGUAGCAAAGCAAAGAAUAAUGAAUUGCCUCUCAUGUCAGUACUGACAGUGACAAAUGAUGGCUGCCUGUGUGUAUAGGUGUGAGUGACAGGCCCCAUAGCUCACAGCUUUUCCACCACACACAGCUCACCUCAGCCUUCAUGGCUGAUUCCCACCCAGUUCAGCCUUCUUCCAUUUAUUCCUUGAGACCACUGGUGAGCCCAUCAUUAAGGGGCUCCAUUCCUUGUGAUGAGUCAUUCAUUCAGAAAAUAUUUAGUGUGCCUGGGUGGCUCAGUCGGUUGAGCGUCCAGCUCUUGGUUUCAGCUCAGGGAUGAGCGUCCAACUCUCGGUUUCAGCUCAGGUCACGAUCCCAGGGUCAUGGGAUUGAGCCCCGUGUCGGGUUCUGUGCUGAGUGCGAGUGCGGAACCUGUUUAAGAUUCUCUUUUCCUCUGGCCCUCUCCCUCAGUUGCACAUGCUCUCUCUCAUAUAAAAACAUUUAUCGAGCCCAUUUACUAGACCAGGAAUUCUGCUAGGUAAUGGAACCAUGGAGAUGCCUAAGGCAUAGCUCCAACCUUAAGAUGCUUAUAGUCUAACAAGGAGAUAAGACCUGUCCAUGGAUAACGCUAACAAAGAUAAAAAAAAAAAGGCACACGGAAGAACAAGGAGCUAUUGGUGUCCGGAGAAGGGAGUGAUUACUUCUAGGUGGGGAGAUUCAGGAAGGGCUUCCCUCCUUCAUUCAUUCGACAGGCAAAUGAGCAGGAGAUUAUGCUAAGCUGAAGAUACAGAGACAAGCGAAACACCGUCUGCCCGGGCGCCUGGGUGGCUCAGCGGGUUAAGCGUGUGGCUCUUGGUUUUGGCUCGGGUAUGAUCCCACUGUUCAUAGGUCCGAGCCCAGUGUAGGGCUCUGCGUUGGCAUUGUGGGGCAUGCUUGGGAAUCUCUCUCUCCCUCUCUCUCUUCCCCUCCUCUGCUCACAUGCGUGCACGCACACACAUACUCUCUCCAAAUAAAUAGACUUUAUAAACACACACACACACACACACACACACACAUGACCACUGUUCCCCCUCAUGGAGUUUACCUUCUUGGGUAAGGCACAUACCCAGAGUAAUGACUGCACCCUGCGGUAAGGUUAAGUAUUAUACACAAGGUAAGAACAAAGUGCCAAGGGAACCUGUGAGUUAAUAUAUUUAGGGAACCAAGGAGCCAUGGUUGAGGCAGGGGUUGUGCUGGGUUUUCUAUAGUGAGGUUAUAGUCUGGUGAGUGUGACUGACUUGUACGCAUGUAAAUAAUUCCAAUUUCAGGUAAAAGGUACUCAGCACCCUAGGAGAAGCUCAGGCAGAGGGCAGUGAGCGAGGGUAGAAGGGUGAGUGUAUUUGGUUCCAGCUGGGGCCCCAGGUAAAUAUUUACCAAAGAGGUUGAAUCGCAGCUGGGCCUUAAUGGAUGAGAAGUUCAACAGGGAAAGGGCUGAGGGAGGGGAUAAUAUAGAAGGAACAACGUGAAUCCAGGGUUGGCCUGUUACUGGUAAGCCCUUUGCAGCGGCCACAGCGGACUAGGCUGGAAGUGGCCCAGGGCGAGGGAAAUAUGAGAUGCAGCUAGACCACGGAAGGUCGUGAAGGGCGAGCUGGUCACUGGACUUCAUUGCGUUGGUGAUGCGUCCUUUCUUCUUCCGACUGUGCUUUGGGCUUGAGGCCAUAUUAAUUAGAAACUAGGGCUCUGGAAUCGGACUGCUUUGAUUCCGUCAUUGCCUCACUGUGCGCGUUCAGGCUCACUACUGAGAUUGGGCGAGUCUCUUCGCCUCUCUGGGCCUUGGUGUGAACAUCGCACAGGUACAGUCCGUGAGGAUUGGUUUAGUUCCUGCAUAUGCAGCCCCUACAACAGUGUCUAACAAGACGGAACCCCGUACGUGUGCGUCGUCGUUAGUAGCAGCAGUGUGGUCAGUAGUAAUAGUAACGAUAAUAGUUGUGAUAUAAAUAGGAGCAACUUUAGGGUGUUCUUGUGCUGUGAACUUGUAGGGACGUACCUAGGAUGACCUGAUGGGCUUGAAAAAACCAGUAGUGAACCUCAGGGGCUAUUUCAGAAUGUUCGAUUCUACCCUCUCGGCAUAACUGUUAAGGUACACCCGGGUUCAGCCAUGUACUAGCCCCAUAAAUAACCAGGCCUCUGUAGCUUAAAAUGGCCCAACCGGAACGUUGGCUUCCGGGACGAUGGGGGCAGCCAGUAAAAUGGUUCCAGGCUCACGUCCGAGCCAGAGUUGGAGAGCGCCUCUAUCUACAAAUCACACUACCCGCAAAGCUCGCAAACGGUAGGGACUGCCUGUGGUUAAACUGAAGGUGGCGUGGAAAGUCUAGCGAUACAAGGAUUUAAUUCCUAUGUCCCAGGGGCCUUAGUUUUGAUACUCCUACCGGAAGCCGAAAGUUCAGUAUGAAGGGGUGGCUAUUUGCAAGUAAUCCUAAAGUGUUCGCACUGGGGGCAGGCUCACCAGAAACAGGCAGGGCCUGAGAACAGUGAUCUACAAAGUUGUGGAAACUGUUCUUUCUUGGGUUGAUGCUUUGGGCAUUUUUGGACACACUCAACACGUACAGCUGUGUGCAGCAGGCGGCCCAUGGUUCCGUCCAUUCGCACUGUGUGCCCAGCUGUAGACCCAGCAGAUGGGUGUCAUCGCAAACGUGACUCUUUCUUACGGGUUGACCUCUGGUGAUUUAAUCUGGUUCUUGGUCAUCACUAAGCACACAGGCUGCUGUUCUAAGACAGAGGCACUUUAGUAGCUCCUGGAAGAGCCCACAAAUCUCCCUUCUUACACUCUCAAAGCCAUAUGCAAACAACAUUCUGUAGAUCUAAAAGUAAGGGGAUCGUAUUGCACUGAAAGCAUUAUUAUUAUUAUAUAUCUUAUAUCUUAGUUAUUAUUAUUAUAUAAUAAUCUUAUAUAUCUUAUGUAUAUUAAUAUAUAUUAUAUAUCUUAUAUGUUAUAUAUAUUAAUAUCUUAAUUAUAUAUCUUAAGGAUUUAAAGGGGGCCAGUGUCUUCUGCCCACUUUUGGCACCUUCCAUUUUCCAUUAGAAAAUGGAUCUUAACUCAUACCCUGUUUUUGAUAAAUACUAAUUAAAAAUUUGCCUGAAAAAAAUUGCAUUGGCCUUCUUUGAAUUUUUUUUUUCUUGAGAAGGGAUAUUUUGGAUGGGUCAUGUUUCUUUUAAAAAACUAUCCAUGGAAGUUUCCUAAAAUAUAUGUACUUGUGGCAAAUAGAGACUUUCAAAAUCAUUCAUAGAGUAGAGCUAGAAAUGUAGAAACAAAGGAACUUAAAUUCGGAAGGGUUAGGCUUAGCAAAAAGGAUGUGGCACUUGGGUUUGAGCCCACCUGUAUGACCCUGUAGAAGCUAAUGUUCAGACUCAGUUUUUUCAUCUGAAAAAUAGGGCAAAGAAGAUCUGCUUAUAACACAGCACUUGUUCCGAGGGAGGAUUAAUUAAAAUACUAUACGGGGAAAUGCUUUGUAAAUGGCAAACUGCUAUUCAAAUGUAAGGAAUUGCUCUUAUCAUCACCGUUCAAGGUCCUAGAGGUUAUAUAGCUAGCCAGUCCGUUUGUCUAAAUAAAUAAAUCAAUAAAUCAAUAAAUCAAUCAAUAAUAAUUCACUUACGUCUUCCCCCACUAGAUGGCAGGCGAGCCACUUGGUAAAAUACUGUCCAGGUUCGGGAUCUAGGAACCGCAGCAAUAUUCGGAUUUGCGAGGCAGUGAAGCAAUGGACAAAGGGUGAAUUAGACAUUGUGAAAAGCGGAGACAGCCUAUAUUGUUAAAACAAAUCUCAUUCCAACGCCAUUGGUUUUCAGUUCACCAAAAUUUUGAUGUAUGGAAAUAGGGUCCUUUUCUUUUCACUACGAGAAAAAGGACAGCUAAGCAAAUAAUUUCUACAAAUAGGGAAAUGUUUAGCCUGCUCAGAGUUGUAGCUAACAGACUUAAUGAUUAUUUAUAACACCGCUUUACAGGUAAUGGUUUCAUCCAUAUCAGGAGUUGACAAAGUGCUUCUCUAAAAGGGCCGGAUAGUAAAAAUUUCCGGCUUUGCAGGUCCGUCCAUUUCUGUUGCAUUGGCUUGACUUUGCUUUUGCAGGCUACAAGCCUGAAGACAGACUGAGACAGUAAGAAAAUUAGGGGGCGUGACUGGGUUACAAUAAGCUUUAAUUAUGGAUACUGAAUUUUGAAAUUCUUGUAACUUUUACUUACCACAAAAUAUUGUUCUUCUUUUGAUUCUUUUUGACCAUUUAAAAAUGUAAAGCUCGGGGCGCCUGGGUGGCUCAGUCGGUUAAGCGUCCGACUUUGGCUCGGGUCAUCAUCUCGCGGUCCGUGAGUUCGAGCCCCGCAUCGGGCUCUGUGCUGACAGCUCAGACAGAGCCUGGAGCCUGUUUCAGAUUCUGUGUCUCCCUCUCUCUGACCCUCCCCGUUCAUGCUCUGUCUCUCUCUGUCUCAAAAAUAAAUAAAAUGUUAAAAAAAAAAUUAAAAAAAAAAAUAAAAUAAAAAUGUAAAGCUCAAAGACCAUUACAAAACAUGGCAACAGGCCUGAUUUAUUCCCCGGGGAGUAGUUUGUAGCCCCUUAAUAAUCUGAACUAUCAGAUUGACAGUCUCCUCGGUUAACGUAAAUAAACUUUUUACUGUUUUCAUAAUAAAUGUUUCAAUGUGGCUUUUUUUUUUGCGUGUGCAAAUUAGUAAGAAAACUUGUGAUUUUUUUUUUUUUUUUUUUUUUCCUUCUUUCUCAAUAUAGGCUUGUGUCUUGUUUGUUAGACUGACUAUAAAAAAAGGACUUCAAGUAGCUGAUGCAUUGUUAUCAGACUUGCCAGGAAAAAAACCCAAACAAACAGGACACCUAGUUAAUUUGAAGUUCACUUCUUUGAAUUUCACUUAAAAACAAUGAAUAGCUUUUAACAUCCAAGUUUUGUAUAUUGCAUAGGACAUAGUUACAUUAACAAAGUAUUUGUUGUUUACCUGAGAUUUAGUUUUAACUGGGUGACUUGUGUUUUUAUUGGUAAAUCUGGCAUUUGCCCUUGUACUUACGGACUUUGCCCAUCACUUAUAUACUAAGGCCUUAAAAAUAGCCAAACAUCUGAAGGCAGGACUCCGGAAGUGAAGUACGUCUUUAGGGAUCUGGGGGAAAUGUGCAUUUCCACCCUCCUGGUUGUUUUGAGUGUAAUUUACCACACUAAAACAACCGUGUGGCAUACCCAUUUUUCGCAUCCUUUUUCCAGGAGUAUUUCUUUCCAUUCUAGCCGCCGGUCUCACUNNNNNNNNNNNNNNNNNNNNNNNNNNNNNNNNNNNNNNNNNNNNNNNNNNNNNNNNNNNNNNNNNNNNNNNNNNNNNNNNNNNNNNNNNNNNNNNNNNNNNNNNNNNNNNNNNNNNNNNNNNNNNNNNNNNNNNNNNNNNNNNNNNNNNNNNNNNNNNNNNNNNNNNNNNNNNNNNNNNNNNNNNNNNNNNNNNNNNNNNNNNNNNNNNNNNNNNNNNNNNNNNNNNNNNNNNNNNNNNNNNNNNNNNNNNNNNNNNNNNNNNNNNNNNNNNNNNNNNNNNNNNNNNNNNNNNNNNNNNNNNNNNNNNNNNNNNNNNNNNNNNNNNNNNNNNNNNNNNNNNNNNNNNNNNNNNNNNNNNNNNNNNNNNNNNNNNNNNNNNNNNNNNNNNNNNNNNNNNNNNNNNNNNNNNNNNNNNNNNNNNNNNNNNNNNNNNNNNNNNNNNNNNNNNNNNNNNNNNNNNNNNNNNNNNNNNNNNNNNNNNNNNNNNNNNNNNNNNNNNNNNNNNNNNNNNNNNNNNNNNNNNNNNNNNNNNNNNNNNNNNNNNNNNNNNNNNNNNNNNNNNNNNNNNNNNNNNNNNNNNNNNNNNNNNNNNNNNNNNNNNNNNNNNNNNNNNNNNNNNNNNNNNNNNNNNNNNNNNNNNNNNNNNNNNNNNNNNNNNNNNNNNNNNNNNNNNNNNNNNNNNNNNNNNNNNNNNNNNNNNNNNNNNNNNNNNNNNNNNNNNNNNNNNNNNNNNNNNNNNNNNNNNNNNNNNNNNNNNNNNNNNNNNNNNNNNNNNNNNNNNNNNNNNNNNNNNNNNNNNNNNNNNNNNNNNNNNNNNNNNNNNNNNNNNNNNNNNNNNNNNNNNNNNNNNNNNNNNNNNNNNNNNNNNNNNNNNNNNNNNNNNNNNNNNNNNNNNNNNNNNNNNNNNNNNNNNNNNNNNNNNNNNNNNNNNNNNNNNNNNNNNNNNNNNNNNNNNNNNNNNNNNNNNNNNNNNNNNNNNNNNNNNNNNNNNNNNNNNNNNNNNNNNNNNNNNNNNNNNNNNNNNNNNNNNNNNNNNNNNNNNNNNNNNNNNNNNNNNNNNNNNNNNNNNNNNNNNNNNNNNNNNNNNNNNNNNNNNNNNNNNNNNNNNNNNNNNNNNNNNNNNNNNNNNNNNNNNNNNNNNNNNNNNNNNNNNNNNNNNNNNNNNNNNNNNNNNNNNNNNNNNNNNNNNNNNNNNNNNNNNNNNNNNNNNNNNNNNNNNNNNNNNNNNNNNNNNNNNNNNNNNNNNNNNNNNNNNNNNNNNNNNNNNNNNNNNNNNNNNNNNNNNNNNNNNNNNNNNNNNNNNNNNNNNNNNNNNNNNNNNNNNNNNNNNNNNNNNNNNNNNNNNNNNNNNNNNNNNNNNNNNNNNNNNNNNNNNNNNNNNNNNNNNNNNNNNNNNNNNNNNNNNNNNNNNNNNNNNNNNNNNNNNNNNNNNNNNNNNNNNNNNGACCCCGACUCGGCACGACUUAGCCACGCUGGCCUCAUCCGAAUCCUGGGCUUUGCGAAUCAACUCCGAAGUGAUCCCCCCCCCCCCCCCCCCCCNNNNNGACCUCGGUCCUACUUCUCAUUUGCUUUCUUUGCAGUGAGUUCGGUUUGGAGACACUGCGGCUUCAUCACCUCGUGCCUCAAGGAGCAAAGCCCAGUUCUUGGCUCACCGAGGCCAUUGGGGCGUUUGGAGGAGACUGAAGGCCAGAGCUUAUGCGAGACCCCCAGGUUGCAAAGCUCUGCCUUCCAAUCGCCAAAACACUGCAGAAGUAGGACACAAGAGGAAGCUGUGCUCCCUGAAUCAGGGCUUAGGAACCCAUGCGGAAUUGGGUUGAAUAUAUGUGUUUUGAAGGAACCACGAGUAACUGGGAAGCGCUUUUGAAAUUAAUUUGCAGAAAGAGGGAUGCUUCUAUGCUCCGGGCCGCCUUGUUCGGCUCAAGCCUGCCAGGAGCCUUUCCUGGUAUUGCGAUUCAGUCUGAAUUUGCAAUGAUGCAGGCACCUUGAAUGACGAUGACACUCCAUAAUUUACAGUGCAUCUCCCUUGUCAUACCUCAUAUAACUCUUCUCAGCCGGGAACCAGACACAGUGCUGGGCGCUGGCUCAAAGUGGCUUUCAGUUGUCAUUAUCCCUCAGAACCAGUUUCUGCCGAGCUCGUGUGGUUUGCGGUCGUUAUGGCUGAGAGACAAAUGGCACGCGUAGCCCAGGCCUAGGGGACGGCCCAGUUGUAUUUCAGGUUGGGACAUGGCUGGCCACUAGGUCGGUGAGUGCCGGAUUCCUUGCUGGGUUCCCGAACUAAAUGCUCCCUUUCGUCUCACGCAGGCCGGUGAAAAUGAGGUAAAGGGGAAGAGCAAAUGAAAGAGAUCAGGAAACUAUUGUUCACAUUUAUGUGCCUUUUCCUAAAAAACAAGAAAAAGGAAAGAAAUCUUUCGAAGCUUUGGGUGUGUCCAGUCCCUCAAAAGAUCAGGGAAAAGGGGGAAUUUGUCCCAUCACUUGCCAGAUUCCUGGCCUGUUAAGACGAGUUUGCUUACUUUGAGGAGCUAUUAAGUCAACAUUCUGCUUAAUACAAAAGGGGAAGAAAUUGAGAAAGGGCAGGCAUGGGGGGGAACCUUGUCCCGCGGGGGCGCACCGCGUUUCUUCUCUGUCUCGGUGUAGCUGUUCCACGCUGUAGCCAGCAGAGGGCACUGUUGCCACAUGGACUCCAUUUGAUUUUUUUGGGGUGGGGUGAAUUUUCAGAGCUAUAAAAAAUACUUGGAUCCAGUAAGAAAUAUGCGUGAUUUUCCACGGAAUAUUAAUGUGAAAAAUAGAUUAUUAUUAAUAACUUGUGGAUGUCUAUUUGAUUAAUGACCCAUCAAGCCAUGGAAGGAAAGUGAAGAUGUUUCCUAACUGUCGUUAUCAAACAUUAAAAUAGCGAGAACAAAAUAGCAACGUGAUAAUAAAUAUCCGCACGGUGCACAUAAAUUAUUUAGGACACAAACAGGUCUUUUUCUUGUGGGAAUGUGUGUGCUGAGACAUAGUAACAAAGAAGAACAGGUCUGCUUCAUCCUAAACAUCUCCUUAAUUUUUUAUUUAUUGCAAACAAAGCCUUUCGUUAAUACCGAGACAGUUAAAUGUAACUCCAUCUCACAAAAGAAACCUGCCAUCUGAGGCCCUCCAUGACUUGCCUCAGACUUUCAACUCUGUUUUACCAUCCACUUCAGCUACCCUGUCUUUCAACCUCGUCUAAUUUUCCCCAGCGUUUUCCUGCCUCUUACUUCCCACUCGCUUGCUCUCUUCUCCACAUGCUGGAGAUCCUACCCAUUCUUCAAAGUCCGAUUCAAAUACUGACUUUUGCGUGCGUUGCAAGGCAUCCACAGAUGAUGACACACACAGGGAACCAGAUGGCAGCACGGUGCAAUGUCAUCAAUGCUGCAAUCGGAGUAAAUUUGGGAAGGAGGCUCUGAGAGCUCCGAUCCCUACUUCAGAGCCAGCCGGUGCUUCAGACACAGCCGGAGAGAUCAGGGAAAGCUUCCUGGGAGAGGUGGUUCUUGACCUAGCGUUGAAGGUUAAGGAAAUCCGGGUGAUUGAAAUAGCCCCUUAAUGGCUACCGCGGAGAUUACAGAGGCAGAAACGGAGAGGCAGUGAGAGAUGAGCCUGGGAAAGUAGGCAGACAGCACCACACACAGGGAGGUUGGACUUCAUUCCAUAAGCCACGGAGACUCACGGAAUGAUUUCAAGUGGCGGCAGCACUGGCUUAGACACUUAUUUUAGAAACGUUGCUCUCUGGGGCGCCUGGGUGGCUCAGUCGGUUAAGCACCCAACUCUCGGUCUCAGCUCAGGGCGUGAUCUCGUGGUUCACGUGUUCGAGCCUCGCAUCGGGCUCUGUGCUGACAGUGUGGAGCCUGCCUGGGAUUCUCUCUCUCUCUCCCUCUCUCUCUCUGCUCCUCCCCUCAAAAUAAAGAAACUUCAAAAAAAAAAAAGAAAGGUUACUCUGGAGGCAGUGCGGUCAGUAGGUUUGAAUGGCAGGCGGACAUCUUAGGAAGUCACAUCUUUCUUCAGAUGAGGAAAGAGAAGGGCCCGAAGCAGGGUACAUAAAGUAGAAAUGGACAAAACAGGAUUAGGCCUCAAUAACACAUUGUUUGUAACUCUUAGGGAAUGUGUGACUUUCUACCUCAUAGCGCGUUAUCUUCACCUUCCCCGGAACACUUAAGUUUCUUGAGAUCAAGGUUUUUUCUCCGUUCAUUUCUGGAUUCUUCACACUACGUGGCCCUUGUACGUGACAAGCACGAGCUGUCUGAGGAGAAUGCAUGUCAGAAACUUGUUAUCAUAAGGGUUUACUUUUGAAACGCUCUCUUAGGGUUCUUCGGUCUCAAAAGUCAGUUGCAUGACAACUUGGUUUAUCCUCCUGGUAAACGUGUUGUGGGUAGUUUAUCAAUUUUGGAAGAAAAUAAGAUUUCUCAUGGAAAUCUCCCCAUCGGUUGCCAUUUAUGGGUAUUAUACUCAAAAGGUGAAAUGCUUCCGGGGCUCUGUACUUUUUGAGUUCACCACUUGAGUGUGUGUGUUUUAAGAUUUUUGAAGGGGGAAGAUGAUAGUUCUGCACAGCUUGUGUGAAAGCAGCAGCCCNNNNNNNNNNCCCCCCCCCCCCCCCCCCCCACCGAGACCAAAUGUCCCUUCAUAACAGAAGCUUCAAAGGAGCUCAAUCCUGUUUGGCUGUUCAAAUCCUCACAGGGUGUGGCACUUUUAGAAAUCCUUUAUUCUUCCCCGUUGUUGAAAUGCUGACAGAAUCAACAUCCUGAGACGCUCCUGCCCUUUCGGGCACUUGAGCGACGUGAGCCUCAACUCAAAGCUCAAUCGGGCUUUAUUUCUCGUUCGACAGCAUAUCAGGCCUCCUUGGACUCACAAGGGCCGGAAGCAUGAUGGUAUGCUCUCAACCCUUUGGAUAAAUGUACUUUGGAAUAAUACCUUGAGAAGAGGAACACUUGGUUAUACCGUUAUUUGAUAGCGUCCUAACCGCCUCGAAGCUCUGCACAACUCGCAGAACUGAAAGAUGACGGAGGACGUUUAUUUCAGACACUUUAUUCUUCACACUGGCCUGGUGCCAGCGUCUUACAAAAGUGACAUGUCCCUUAGCAAAAGGUCAAAGGACACAGGGUGAAAGGCUGACCCGAAGUGAAUUUUAUGGGUAGAAAUGUAUUUUCUCAUUUGAAAGUUGGUCGAAUGAAGUUUUGCCCAGUGAUUCGGUUACGCACAUAAGUAGUCAGUCUCCCUACCCUGGGUUAUCAGUUUUUAUCCUCUUGUUUGCUCCUGAUUUCCUUUCAUAAAUCUCCAUCUCUUGUACGGUGUGGAAAAGAGUUGCUAUUAGUAUUAUGAAGCUGAGCUGUCCCCAGGUUCAGAUAAUCUCCUUUUGGAUAAAAUUGCCAUAAAUCUUCUGUUCCAGUUUGGUAGGGAAAAAGGAGACCUGGAAAUUGGUCUCAUACCUUUAAAUUGAUACUGGGAUUCAGGCUGUGUGAUGCCUUAGUAUUUAAUCUAUUGAUUUAAUGGGGGGAAAAUACUUCAUUAAAGUGAUUCCCCUCCAGUGAUCAGUUGUUCUUUAGUUGUAUUUUUUAAAAAGUUUAUUUAAUUUUGAGAGAGAGUACGAGUGGUGGAGAGAGGGAGAGAAUCCCAAGCAGGCUCCGUGCUGUCAAUGCAGAGCCUGACGCGGGGCUUGAUCCCACGACCAUGAGAUCGUGACCUGAGCUGAAAUCAGGAGUGGGACGCUUAACCUGAGCCACCCAGGCACCUCUCUUUAGUUGUAAUUCUUAAUCUUGUAUUUAACCUGAAAAGUCACUGACAGAGACGUGAUGGUACCUAAAAUGUAGCCAUGAAAUACGAGAUUAUUACCUCAUGCACACAUGUGCAUGCGCACACACACACUUUUUAUUAUGAGAGUGUUCAAAUCUACAGAGAAAUAAAGUAGUGAAGUGAAUGCCCACUUGCCAAGCACCUGGAUUUAACAAUUGUUAACAUUUUUGAUAAAAUAAGUGACUAGUUUAUAUGUAUAUUUGCUUCAGUUCUCCACCCGCAAAAGUGAGUAUUCGCCUAUCUUACCGCGGUUCCGUUAUUAUACCUAAUAAAGUCAACGGCAGUCACCUAUUCUACCUGACAGCCUACUCAUAUCCAGAUUCCUCCAGUCGUGCCCAAACUGUGAUUGACUGUGAAUUAUGAGUGACGCGAUUAUUGGCAGAUCAGAGAUCUGAGAACUUGGUACUGUCCCUCAGCUGACAGAAGUCAGGAGUGUAGACCGGUAGCAGAACAGAACUUAAGCCAGAAAAAUAUAGAGUAAUUAAUUACUCAUUACUCUCCCCUCCUCGAGCUAUAGUGACCUCCGGAGAAAGCUGAGCCAUCAACUGGGAAUCAGCGUGGGGCUCGGAGUCUACCAGAACUCCUGUCUCCCAUACAGAGGGGAAGUGCCAUCGAGAGAGGCCUGACACUCUUGUAGCUGAAUGGUCAGUCAUUCCACCAUCAUUCAUCAAGGAAUCCUUCCUUUCCUCAAUACCUUGAAAUAGUACCACAGAACUAUAAAAAUAUUGGAAGAAAAUACGUGAACAUAUUUUUAUCAUCUUAGGGAGGCGAAGGCUUUUCAAAGCAAGGCAUGAAACGUUUGAUUACAUAAAUAUCUGAACGUCUUUAUGGCAAAAGACAAAAUUAAAAAGUAAAUGGCAGGCUUAAAGAAAAUGUUUGCAGCAUAGAGUGUAAAAUAAGAGUUCCGUAGGGGCGCCUGGGUGGCUCAGUCGGUUAAGCAUCUGACUCUUGAUUUUGGCUCAGGUCAUGACCUCAUGGUUCAUGGGUUUGAGCCCUGUGUCAGGCUGAGUACUGACGGUCUGGAGCCUGCUGGAGCUUCUCCCUCCCUCUCUCUCUCUCUCUCUCUGCCCCUCCCCUGCUCACACACACACACACACACACACACACUCUCUCUCUCUCAAAAUAAAUAAACUUUUAAAAAAACGAAAAAGAAAGGGAGAGUUCUCUAAUAUGCUAAUAGUGCCUACAAAUCAGUAGGAGAAAAAUUUUUGAGUGGGCAAAGGAUAUAAACGGACAAUUUAAAGAUGGAGUAGAAAUGGCUCACCAUAUGGAAAGAUGAUUAAAGAAAUGAAAAUUAAAACUGAGAUACCUUGCUAUUCACCUUCUGUUUGGUGCAAAUGACAAAGAUUGGUAAUAUUUCAUGUUGGUGAACAUAUGGGAGAAGAGGGCUCUCCUCCACUGUUGGUAAGCAUACAAAUUGGUCCAGCCUCUGUAAGGGCAGGUUGGCAUAUAUUAUUAUUAUCCCAAGUUCAUGUUCUCCUCGCUAAUGUAAAAGCUACUUAGGCAAUCUGCCUCUGUUCCUGACUUCAUUUCCUAUUUUUGUGUCUGCUCUCUCCUAGCUGGUGCUAUUUGUGCUUCUCAUCCCAGCCAGGCAGACUUGACCUUCACUCCUGACUUCGUGAUCCCUUCACAACUGCAAGUCAUUUUCCUACAAAACUGGAGUUUGCCUACUCUGUGCCUUUGAGAGUUUUGGAACAGCAUGCAAGUUCACGUCGCCAUCACGUUAUCCUGCUGACUGUCUCAUGUGACGAGACCGACACCCGGGUCGCUUGCUUCUGCCCUUGUUCUUCUGCCUGUUGUCCCCUCUGCAGCCAUUGAGCACACGCACGUGUUGUCACGCAAAAGCCGUUUUGCUGUUUUUAUUUGUCUUGUGAAUGUUGUCAUUUGCUUCGUGCGUAUCACGAAUUAGUGUCGUGUACUGCUCAGUGAUCUAAAACUGUCACUAAUUAGAAAUUUGCGUUGAGUCUGGGUAGGAAUGGCACCCAAGCAGAAAAGCAAGAGUGCAGGUGCUAGAAGAGCAAAGAGGGCAAGAAAAGUGAUGUUUGCAGCAAACGAAAUGAAAGUUCUCGAAAUGCUCAAUAAUGGUGAAACCAAGACCUCUCUAGGGCCCUUUUUUCCCUUUUUUUGGCAUUAAUAAAUCUAUGAUUUGCACAAUAAAAAUAAGCUAUUAGGGCCAAUCAAUCGAGGGGCACGCUAGAAUCAUCAAGAACAUCAUACGUAACGUGAAAUGCCAACACAGAGACCAUGGAAAAGAUGUGCACGUGUGGCUUCUAACCCAGAGAGAGCUGCAUAGGCCUCCUCCUGUAGGCGUAAUCUGCCAGCGAGCAUCACAAAAACGCAAGUUUCAAUUUUCAUCUGGACAAAAGGUUACAACAUUCACUGUGAGUAAAGGGUGGUUGGCUAGGUUUAAGAAAUGCUGUGGUCUGUCUGAAAAGAAAUGGUCGGCAGAGGAAGCAGAUCAUGAGGCUGCUGCUGGCUACCCUGAAUACCUGAGGGAACGGAUUGAGGGAAAUGGCUGUUUCUUCAGUGCUGACGAAAUGGCCCUGUUCAGGAAGUACAUGCCUACUUGCACACCUUUUGCAGAGGAUGAGAAAAAGACCGGAGGCUUCAAGCCUGGAAAGGACAAGCUCAAAGUUCUGUUUCGUUCCAACGGUUCUGGUGAUUGAUUAAACCCACAUUGCUUCACAGAUUGCGAAGUCCUUGCCCUCUUAAAAGAGAAUGCUAGAAACACUUUUCUGUUUACAUGAAGGGAAACCAUAAAGUAGGGAUCACUGAGAAACUCUUUUUGGGCCAGUUUUUGAAGUCUUCAUUCCUGAGGUUAGACAAUAUUUAAACCAAAAAAAAAAAACAACAAAAAACCUUGAAUUCAAAGUUGCUGCUUUUGGACACCUGCUCCUACUGCCAAAAGUGCGAUAGUAAAUGCUGAUCCUUGUGUUCCAGUCACCUCCACCCCCCAGUACAACUCCACUCCUUCAACCCAAGCAUCUGGGAGUGCUGAAAAUUGUUUGUGAGGUACUGUGCUUGGCGUAUGUUUGAUUACCUUGCAGAUCGUAUGAGGGAGACGUCAGAACUGACUGUGAAAGUAGCUUGACAAAAUCUCCCCAUUUGUAAUGCUUUAACAAUAGUGGAAGAAUCAAUGCGAGAAAUAACACAGGCAACCCUUAAUGGAGCCUGGCACAAACUUGGGAAUGAGGUUGUAAUGGACUCUGAAAGUUUUCUCCCAGUGGUAGACGAAAUUGAAAAGGUUGUAGCAUCUGCAAAACAUUUGGGUGGCGAAGGAUUUGAAGACAUUGAUUUAAGUGACAUUUUGCUGAAGUGUUAGAUUCUCACCCUCAGAAGAUAGUUGAGAACUUUUUCAGAGAUGUGAUCACAUCAAAAGUUGAUACCACAGGUCAGCAUAGGUUAACAUCCAGAACUCAAAGAAUGUAGGAGCAGCUGUUCCACAAGUCAAAUUGCUGCGAUGAUUCAGAGGAGAGAGAUCUUUCGAUGGAAUAUUUAUUGACCUGAAGGCAAGAUUUAAACGAUUACCCACAACCCUAUAAAGCAGUAAUAAGAAACCUUCAAAUGAAGGCCAAUAAGUCUUUCUCUCUGUUUGCUUCAACAGGGAAGAAGAGGCUGGACCUUCGGGCCAUGUCAUUCAAACCCAUUCUGCAAACAGCAGGCAGAAAGGCCACACACAGAUAGUUGAACCUUGGGAUUCAGACUCCAACAGCUCUGAUGAUGUGGUGAUCCAAGUGCUGGAAGAGGAAAGUAGAACGGAAGGUUGAGCUUACUUCUCUCCAGACACAACCCAAUUGUCUUGAUUCUUUCCCUAUCACUACUGUGACGACCAGCAUUUUCACUGACGCAUGAUUGUCCUGACUUUGAGAUCAGAGAGAAACAGAAAUCGGUUGCCCAGUCAUCACUAUUACUGAUGUGAAAUUAGUAAUACCAACAAGAUUCACUUUACUUAGUGCCUUAUUUCAGCGAACAGACCAAGUGUCUGGGCUGUCAUAAUACCCACUUCCCUGCUGCAAUUACCCCCUGAGGCUCAUAAGUCCCUGCAACACAGAUUCCUCUACAGUGAGGGUCCAGGAAGUCAACUCUAAUACGUAGGGAGGGGGGUUACUCUAUGUGGUUGGACAACUUGAUUUUGUACUCUUGAUACUGACAUUUAUUUUAAUCUUACUUAAGCCUAAUUUGCCAUUUUGACAGAAAGAAUCUAGACUCAUUCGUUUGGUAUCAGUUAAUUUGUUUUCCAGCAGUUGUAGAUGUAGCCAUUGGUCAGUCCUUAAGGCAGUGCGUUUAAAAUGCAUUCUGGGAUUUACUCUUGGUAUCUACUCAAGGAGUAAAAGCUGCCAGAGUUCAUCUCCAUUGAUCCGCUC